This 47358-nucleotide long non-coding RNA is filed under the name Brachypodium distachyon (stiff brome). RNAcentral describes it as "long non-coding RNA (BDIS_LNC001298)". The stretch from base 22523 to 22648 matches the Rfam family "MIR1120/MIR1122 microRNA precursor family". The record is from RNAcentral. Lineage: Eukaryota; Viridiplantae; Streptophyta; Magnoliopsida; Poales; Poaceae.
UUUUGCCUCAGUUACGAAUUGGGGAAGAUUAUGAAACGGGGAUCUAAAGGGCGGAAUCCGUUCGUGGGGUGAUGGGAGGAGAAACGGUCGGGAGCGAGAGAAUCGAAGGGGAGAUUAACCUGCGGUGGAGGCGCUCGAGCGAGGAGGAAGAGCUAGGGGGCUCGGGCGCUCGGCAGCGUGAUGAGUGGCGGCGGCGCUCGCGCGAGGAGGAAGAAGAUCCGCGGAGCGAGGAGUAGGGGAGAGAGGAGGGAGACGGAGGAGACGGCGGGUGGGGUGGGGGUGUGUGGUGUGUGGCAACUCCUUUUUCCUUUUUUCCGCUGCUGUGCUGUUUUUUCCGCGUUCGCGAGAUCGGGGAGAAGGUGUACGGCGUUUGGGCUUACUGGCGGAUCUACGUCUGAUUUCUGACUGCGCUUACAUUUUCUCGUGAAUUCCCGUCUGGGGGCCUCUUGGAGAUACGGAGUUCUACCCGAGUUUUUGUUUGGCGGUUAAAACCUAAACCUGUUCAACGACUUUCAACCUCUUUUGACUUUUGAUAAACGGAAAUUCUAAAAUAGGAAAAGAAACUCUUUGCGUGUUCCCCUGUUGUAACGGAUGAGUUCCGCACGUUUUUUCAUUCCUCUGUCCUUUGAAUGAUAUACGAUCAUAUCAUCGCAUUUCCUAAGCUUGGUUCAUGCCUAAAAUAUGUAUACGUAAUAUCCUCGUGCCCGUGUCUGUUACAUCGUCUAAAAAGAUGAUCAAACGGUUGUCUAGUAAACUACACCAUGGUAUCGCUGGUAUUAUUUUUUAGAUGUCAAGUGAAACCUACUCAUAAUAUUAAGAAAUUGCAUAUUUAGGCCUCAAUUUUAGUUUUGUUAAGUUGUACACCUUGGAUCGUGAAGGAGACGCAGGCCAUCCUCCAUGGCACAUCAGCCUACCAGCCUUUUGGAAAGAAACCACUACUUCCUCCAUUACUGCAGCCUACCAGCUUAGGUAAUGCUUCAAUUCACGCCAUAGGAGUUAAUGAGCAUGCUUUGAUUCACACCACUGGAGAGCCUACCAGCCAUGGCUAGUUAGACGGCAGCUUCACCUGCUCCUCCACCCGUUUCCCCAUCCGCCAUGGCUCAUUCCGUGGGAUGCACGAGAGGCUCCCCGUCAGCUUAUAAGGACCGGACGCCAAUACUCCGGGACGAGGGCAACGGGCUUCGAUUGGAGGCUGGGGCGACGGGAAUCUGCGAUUGGAUGAGGAAGGGAGGAAGUUAGGGAAGAAGAUGGGGAUUUGGGAUUGGGUCGGGUCGUUUGGGGGAGACUGGAGGGGAUUAGGUAGUUGUGCUCAACUGAAAUCGAGGCAUAGACACACUACCUUGUAAUUACAUCGCCAAAAUACAAAUGUACACUCUUUUGCGGAAAAGUGGUGGAGCCAAACGUCCACUCUUUCACGAAUAGAGGGAGUAUCUUAUCUUCUCCCACCUCGCUCAUGCUUUUCUCUGACAAACUACCAUGUAAUUACCACAUCAGAUAGUUAAUACUAUAAAGUGUACAAUUUAGAGGGGAGCAGAAGACCGUGUUGUAUUAUACUUGCCAUCAUACUACGAGAAUUUAGCCAUACGCCACUAUGAGGUGUACGAUUUAGAGACAUACGAAAAAUAGGCUUGAGCUGUCUAAAUAUGACAUUACUUUAUGGGUAAAGUGGAGGUAUGCCAUUGUGUUAUGACUUGAGGCAGGAAAAGAUGGCAAGGAUAUAUUCGUCCACAUAUACGUAGUAUUUCCGGUCUGCUCCCUAAACACAAAAGGGUUAUGUAUCUAGAUUUUUCCCUACCGAUUACGGCAAAGCUAAAGAAGUUAAUCAGGUGACCAAGUGGUCAAAUUCUGAUGUCCCUAGCCCCUAGGGGUGCUUCCAGGGUGUUUGUUUUCUCUUCAUUUGUUCCAGAGCAAGUUGAUGCGUGGGACCACUCCCCAUCUUCACACAUCGACCGAACUCACCUUUGACAAAUGCGGCACAGAUUUUUGCUUGAGGUUCUCCAACCUUGAUCCCAUAUGGAAACUUCUACUAGUGGAUCUAGAAUUCUGGAUCCUCCUAAUCUUUCUAUCCAACUAAAAGUGAGAUGCCACUCGAGAUGCCCAGCCAAUUCCAAUUGUUGAAACAUUUAUAUUUGGGGACUAGACUUAAUCUGGCACGCAAGUAAUGCAAUCCAUCGUGGUAUUAUGUCCAUCUUAGCUGAAACUCCGUUUAAACAUGGAGAGAAGAAAGCUUAUGCUAACUGAUCAGCCGAUUUAUCGCACGAGCGGGAUAGCCGGGAGACGCGGAAGAUUCCAAGCAAGUCGCGGGAGAUCUGACGAGGCCAUUUCGUGGGACCCAUCAAACUUGCCCCACUGGCUGGACCUCAUCUUUCCUUCGCUCCCCUUUGCAUUCCUUUAUUGCUAAUGGUUCACAACUACUUGCAAGGCGCGUCUCUUUGUAUCUCGCUCUCCUUUUUUUCACUUAUCCACGAAGGCACCAAGCAUAAGUGGAUUGCCGUGCAAACGUUGGCACACACAUUUUGCGUCUCGGGUUUCAAACUAUCUAUGGAGAAAUGCAUAUUUUUGUCACUCAAUUGGCAACAAAGUCUAAAACAUGAACUAUGAACUCAAAAUUGAAUAUAUUUUUUCUCUCGCUUAGUAAAAUCAGAUAAUUUUGGUUCUCCGUGAGAAAGAAGAAUAACCAGUUUCACCAUAUCUGUAAAGCCGGAGCUAUGCCAAACACGUGUCUACGAUUCUACGUGGAGUUUUAGGUACCGUAAAAAAUAUCUAUUCUAUUAUUACUUGCUUUUGGAGGCAACGGUUAAAAAGAGAGGAGGAAAGAAGAAUAAGUGAGGAGAGAAAUGCUUCCGAUAGAGAAAAAAAGAGAGAGGAAGAUAGCCAAGAUUGUGAGAGAAAAAGAGGAAGAUAGCCAAGAUUGUGUGUGUGUGUGUGGCCAUACGUCGUUUCAUUGGUCAAAUUCGACCGUAGAGAUGGCCGUCCACCGAUGCAUGUUGGUAAUUACGCCGGACAUAGUUGAGAGCAGCAUAUGAAAAAACGCAAGGCCCCCUUGAGGGUCACGUGAGUCGAUCCUAGGUUUUGCUCCUUUCGUUCCAGUACAGUUAAAACGUGUGCACAAGUUGCUACGUCGGGUGAACAUCACGAUCCAACAACAUUCAGAAGUCCGAACGGCCGGGCAAGAAAGAUUCGGUCGGGCAUUUUUUUUUUCAUGGAAAGGACAGUAGAUCAUAGAGUUGCUUGAUCCCUGUAGCUCCUCCCUUUCUCAAAGUUUGUCAACGGCACGUUAGCAGCCACCACCCCAUGUGAACCAGAGAUACCGUAAUGCUGCGCACGAUUGAUCGAAAAACAACGUGACACCUAGCUACGACGUGCAACAGCUCAUAGCAAAACCUCCCGCCCGGCCGAGCAGAGCAGAGCGGGAGCAGCCAGAUUCCAUCACCCGGACACGAUGCACCCAGGCCGGCGGGGCGGCCAACGAGAAGUCGGAACGGAAUUGUGCGGGUCGGAGAGGCGAAAUCCCUUGCGGGAAUCGCAGUGAGGCUCUGUCCUCAGCCCACCGAGAUAGACAGCGAGACGAGCGCCUUACUUCACCGCCAAAAAGCCCAGAACCGACAAGCGCAGCUGCAGCGCCCGCCCGUACCGACGACGCAAACGCCCAACGCGACGCGAACCCGGGGUACGUGGCUCCACGCGUCGCGCGACCCCUCCACGCACGCUUCGAGGUGGCCGACGUCGGGAAUCUUCGACCCUCGCAUAAAACCCAGGUGUACCCCGGAAUCUCCCGCUCCCCACCAACGCAAAAACGUACUACUGAUCCUAUCCAACUAGUGCUACUGUCACGCACGUAUUGACGUGCCCGCCUCAAUCGUGCACCGACCGAACAUGCAGCCCGUUCGUCCCCGCACCGCCGCGCUGCCGCUCCCAUGCGCGCUCGUCGCUAAUGGGCUUCGGACGACGAGCCUUGCUGCUGCCGCCGCCGGGGUUGUGAGUCCCACCACGGCGGCGGCGGUCCUACUCCGCGCGCAGCGUGACGGCAGGGCGGAUCCUCCGGUAGUACUAGUGGCGCGGAGAGACGAUGGAGCAGAGCUUGCCGAGGAGGAGGACAAGGACGGCGAUUUCCUGGCGCCGGAGGAGGAGCUGGAGUUGCUGGAGCACGAGGCGAUGCGCGGGGGCGACGGCGAGGGCCGGAGCCCCACGGACUACGACCGCCGCGCGCACAUCUUCGAAGAGAGCUCCCGGGUGUUCAGGGACCUCAAGCAACGCCGCGACGAUGCCGGUGCCGGUGCGGCGCGCCACGGUUGAUCGAUGGCGUGGGAACAGUGCGCCACCGACACCUAGCUACCUACCGGAGUGACAAGCAAGUCGCGCCUAACUCCUGUCCCGAGUGAAAAGUGCUUUUACUUAGUAUGAUUUGUUUGUGUGUAUGUACCCAAGGAAGGCCAGCACGUGUUUCCCAUGUAUGUAUAUCUAGCUAAGCUAGCCAUGGCUGAUCCUUUUUAAGGUUUCUUUCACGUAAUCUCAUCAGCUGGUAUGAUGAAUGCGACUCUUCCCUGACAAAGACCGACGCGAUCAACUGUAGACAUCCAAGCAGGUGGUGCGAGUUUGCCGCCACACAAGUGCGAUUGGGAUGGCUUGCCGAACUUGCAGCUUUAUCGAUCUGCGUGCGUGUCGCAAAAAUCUUGCCUUCCUUCUGUCAUGAAGAGAAAGCAGUAAGAAACGAAUCGCCGUUUCCUCCGGGAGAGAAAUUUGGCCUUUCGGGACGGACGGCAUUGCUUUCUGAACGAAAAUCUCACAGUAUAUUGCACAAUCACAACGCGCCGACAUGAAGCGAUCGUGCUGUUCGUCUGAAACAUCACGACGAGUGGAGGUCUCUUCUCAACGUUCGAGGAUCCUGUGGCUAGCGGAAGGGGACGCAAACACGAGGUUCUUCCAUGUUAACGCUAGUCACAGGAGGAGGAAAAACCACGUUUCUCAGCUCGCUGAUGACCCCGGUUCGAUAUUCACUGACCAUGAGCCGAAAGCGAACGUGGCAGCUGACUACUUCCGAUCGAUCAUUGGCACUGCCGGAGAACGGCCGUUUUCUCUCAAUCUCGACUUCCUGAACAUCCCCUCUUCGGACUUCUCGAUCACCGAGAACGAGAUCCUUGAAGCUAUUCGUUCUUCUCCGCACGAUAAGAGCCCAGGCCCCGACGGGUUCACGUGCAACUUCUUCGAUUGUUGCUGGGACAUCAUCAAGGACGACCUAAUGGCUUGCUUCGCCCAAUUCCAUGCGCGUCGUUUCAGUGGGCUCGAAACUGUGAAUCAGGCUUUCCUCUGUCUUCUUCCCAAGAAACAAGACGCGGCCCACAUCAAGGAUUACAGGCCCAUUAGACUGAACCACGCGGUGGGCAAAUUCAUCUCCAAAGUGCUUGCUAAUCGUCUGUCCCACAGGCUGCCGGAGAUUGUGGGCCAACAUCAGAGCGCCUUCAUAAAAGGCCGCAAUCUACACGACAACUUCAUGCUCGUCCAAAACUCUGCUCGAUAUCUGCAUCGUGUCAAACGAGCUUCUGUUCUUCCCAAGCUAGAUAUCACGAAGGCAUUCGAUUCGGUGCAAUGGCCGUUUCUUUUUGACGUCCUGCUACACAGAGGCUUCGGUAGUAGAUGGCUUGACAGGAUGGGGGAUCUCUUGGGUACUGCCACUACCAAAAUCCUAAUCAAUGGAGUCCCAGGUGAUCCAAUCCAGCAUCUUGGCGGUCUGAAACAAGGAGACCCCUGUCCCCCGUGCUGUUCGUCAUCGUCAUGGACAUUUUCAACUCCAUGCUCUCUGCCGCUACUGAGGCCGGCCUUCUCUCUGAAUGCGGUUUGCGCCAUCGCUCUUCUUUCUUCGCGGACGACAUCGCGAUUUUUAUCGCGCCUACUUGCUUGCUCGGCUCUUCUUCACGACUUCGGCGAGGAGGCCGGACUUAAGGUCAACCUCCUCAAAUCGUCUGCCCACGCUAUUAGAUCCUCCUCGUCGAAGCCCAUCUCUGCCGGAACGCUGGUUUCCCUUGCUCCUACCUUGGACUGCCUCUCCAUAUCCGCAGGCCCUCGGCUUUACAGCUUAAAGGGAUCGUGGACAAGGUGGGCAACCGUCUGCAGGGCUGGCGCGCCCCGAUGCUCACGAUGGGAGGGCGCCUCAUCUUGAUCAAGUCCACCUUAUGCGCUAUCCCGGUAUAUGCCAUGAUGGCCCUGGACAUCCCAGUCAAGGUUAUUUCUGCCAUCGAGAAGAUCUGUCGAGGCUUUUUGUGGAAAGGCAAGAAGGUGGUUUCUGGAGGACACUGCCUGGUGGCCUGGCGGGAAGUGUGCGCGCCAUACGACUUCGGGGGUCUGGGUAUUCCCAAUCUCAGACUCCUCAACAUCGCGUUACAGGCGAAGUGGUUGUGGCUUCACCGCAGCGAUCACAACCGCCCCUGGAGCGACUUGGUGCCGAAAACUCCCUCCCUCUCGGAGGAAAUUUUCGAGGCGGCCACGUCCGCGGUGGUCGGCAACGGCAAGGACACUUCUUUCUGGACGGAUCCGUGGCUCUCCUCUGCCCGAAUUAAAGAUCUGGCCCCCAAUCUGCUUCCUGCGGUUCGCCGAGCUGAUCUUUCCAUUUCAGUGGCCGACGCUCUUCAAAAUCAUCGAUGGGCGAGCCAGUUGGACCUGGGCGUCGUGGCCCAAUACUGGCAAGAGUUCUUCCAGCUCUGGAACACGGUGAACGGCAUUCAUCGGCACGACGGAGAUGACACAUUUCGAUGGAGAUGGUCCCCCACCGGAACCUUCUCCGCCAAGUCUGCCUACGCGGCCUUCUUUGGAGGUCGGGAACACUGGGCCGGCUCCGACCUUAUUUGGAAAUCCAAAGCGCCUCUCAAAUGCAAGGUGUUCUUAUGGCUGGCUUGCAGGGAAAGAUGCUGGACCGCGGAUCGGCUCCAGUCGCGAGGGAUGGAUCAUCCAGCUGCUUGCCCAUUUUGCGACCAGCAACAGGAAACCAUCAAUCAUUUGAUGAUGGGAUGCCCAUUCGUGAGAGAUAUCUGGCAUUGCUUCUUUCUUUUCUGGGGGAAAGACGAGUGGACUCCCUCUGAGGAUCGCCCCAUCUCCAGUUGGUGGGCCGACAUCAACCUAGCUGGUAAGGAGAAGAAAGACUUGGCCAGGGCGAUCACUUUGAUCUGCUGGGAGACGUGGAAGCAUAGGAACUGCAUCGUGUUUGACAACUCCAGACCAGACCGGGACGGGCUACUCCAGGCUAUUUCUACUGAAUUCAGGAACUGGAGUCUGGCUAAUCUGUUUAGCGGCACUAGCCAAUACGGGGCGAGUCCGAACGCGUUAGAGGGAGGAAUGUGGAGAGAUACGGGAUAAUUGUAAAACGAUUGUAAACCUUUACUGCCUCUAGGCAGCUUCUCCUUUCUAUAAAUGAUGAUACGUCGAGCUAGAAAAAAAAGUAUGGGUGAUACGCAGUAUGGCACGCAGUGCCCAAACACUUCUCUAGUUCUCUUGCUGUCGCAUGGCCGAACCGCGGCCUGUCACAAACAACACGACGAAAACAAACAAGUAGCAAAAGGCAAAUACAGCAAUGCUGGGAAAAAAACAUUACGCACCACAAGCACGGUUCAGCACUAAGCAGCGAAAAUACAGAUGAACUUCGUCACGAAGUAAACCGUAAGAUUGAUUUCGAUGCAAAACAUGAGCUCUGAUGCUCUAUGAUACGUUCCUACUCCACAGCGGUUCUUGUAGUCCACCCCUCGCUUUUCUGGGGAAGUCGGGAUACUCUAAAGCAAUCGAAGCUUGUUUGCAUUACCCCGAACCAUCUUUACCUUCUGUGUAUGAUGUAUAUGUGCCAGACUGCCAGCGCCUUCCAGUCUCCAGACACCAGUUCUGCGUGUAAUCCUAUUCCAGUGGUCGGUUUGGUUUUACGAUGUGCGUCAGUUACUUCAUGACCGGAUCAGUCAGUCUUGCUAAAAGCCUCUUGUGUAAUCAAAAUGAAAAAGAAAAUCCUUGUCAGUGUUGAAGCCAACAAAUCCAAGAAUUAACGAAAGCACAAAUUCGUCCGUCUAUACAAUCACAACUUUGAGUGUUUGAACUCGAAAAGCUAUACACACAUCAAAGAGCACACAGAUUUGACAAACAAGUAACCUCGUGGACAGACGAAUGGCAAAAGAACACAGCAAGCUCACACACCGAUUAGAAUGUUUAACUGCUACUAAAAUACAUGUCACCCUACCUAUCAGCAUCACAAAAAACGUACUCCCUCCGGCCAGAAUUACUUGUCGAAAUAUUACAUGUAUCUAGAUGCUUUUUACACAUAGAUACAUCCGUAUUUGGGCAAAUUUGAGACAAGUAAUACCGGUCGGAGGGAGUACUAAACCUGAGUGUAUGCUUCUUUCCUAACUCGCCAAAAUCCUGGAAAACGAAGUCAAAUUCGCUAUGACCUCAACUUCAGAGAUUCCAGUCCAUGAAUGCCUUUCUUCAGCAUUCCUUGGAAUGGCAAGCCUACACUUCUCUCUUUUGCUUUUGAUCCCUUCAUUGCAGUAUGUUCUGCAGCUGAAUCAUCGUCGGUCACGCAAACGCCUUUCCCCUUCAUGUCAUGUGGUCUCAUGUUAGGCGUUCUUCUGCUGAAACUCUCAUAGAGAUCAGGGGAAUGCCGCAUCAACUCACUCGCUGAAGAGUACCCCAUCAAUCUAUGAAGCUUAGACUCUUUGCCACUUCUUUCAUCCAUGGUGUUGAAAGAUGAGUUUCUUGACACAUGCAAGGGUUGUUCGUCCUCAGUAGAAUAGCUUGCACCAGCUGACUGACCAUAUUCUUCUGAGUAGGAGUAUGGGUCUGCUUGAUGGGCACCAGUGUUGAAGUCAUCAGCUGCCUGGUGGAUUUCGUAAUCAUCUGUGCUGCUGGACUCAUCCCCUCCAAAUGGUGACUGAAGUUUUUUUCUGCUUGGGUCUCUGUAGGAGUAGGAGAGAACCUGUGAGCAGGAGCCACACUGCAGCCUGCGUGUUCCUCUGCUUGGAACGGCAAAACCGGUGGGCAGCUGGACCAGCCUGAGACAGUUCGAGCAAAGGAUGAAUGGUGCGCCCCGUAGGACUGGCCGGCAGAGAUUUCUCGGGGGAGGCCGUCUCUUUAUCUCCUUGACAGGUGGCUUAUGCAGUGCACGUUCUUGUUUCCAGGAGCUGCAACAAGGUGGCCGGUAGCUAUGGCAGCAUUCAUGAGGGCACCGCAUCAUUUCCAUUUGGCCAGUGUGAUUAUAUGAAUAGGCACUGUGCCGACGAUAUCGCGGUAAUGGUUGCUCAUGGUCAUGGGGAGCAACUUGGCCAGACCUACUCAGGCGAGAUGCAUGGCCAGAAUGUUUGGCAGCAGGAUGAUAAGCUGUAAGGGGUAGACUGGAUGUGAUGGCUACAUGGGGCAUGUAGCCAUCUUGUUUCCGAGGAUGUGGAGGGUGUGUCCUUGGCUUGCAAUCUGAAGGUUCAUUGAAAAUUUCACAAAGGUCACCUUUCAGAUCAUCCACUGUCUUCAUUAUCUUUGAUUGGAGGGGUUCACUUGCCCGGAAGCUUUUUGAUUGGAAUGAAGUCCGGGAAGAUUGGAAAUCAAGUGAGUCAACUGAUACUCUAUCUCGGAGAUCACAAGACCGAGAUUGCACCCUUACAAGCUUAGUUCUCUUGUUUGUCACGGGUUCAGUUUGGCAUGCUCCAUUCUCAGGUUCUGGCAAGUUUAUAACUAAUUUUCGAUCCUCGGAUAACGGUUUGUUGUGCUCAGAGGUAUUCAGGCUGCACUCCAUAUGGCUGACUUCGAUUACUCUGCAAGCCUCUGGAUUAUCUGCACUUUUUUUUGAAGGAGGAUUCUCUGCACUUCGCUCCACAGUGUUGCUCUCCUCUUCAUCAGAAUCUGUAUGUGUGUCAUUCCCAUUCGGGUGUGUCUGGAGAGCAGGAACUUCCGUUUCUUCAUUGGUGUCCCUGCCAUCAGAUUUACGGUCUUCCUUGUUCUCAGUAUUUGUAACCUCCAUGGCAUUCUUCUCAUCUGACAUAACACCACCACUCUCAUUGCUUGCCUUGACAUUGCUCUCGCACUCGGUCUCGUUGCUUGGAGCAUCAGGAGUACAGGAAUCAUCUACGUCAGCAACAAUGGAACCCAGAUCUUUGUUUUCGGGCGACACACCAUUGCUCACAGAGGUAACAACAGAGUAAUUGUCAGAGUCUUGCCGGACUUGUUUUUUGGCCACAUUUUGUGCAUUGCUGACACUGACUUUAGCUGCACAAACACAGGUGCGCAAAAAAAGUUCAAUUCCUCAUAAACUUAUAAGAAAAUUCAUCAGGAAUGAAAACUACCCAGCUAUUAAAUUUCAUCAGCCGGUGUAUCCUCGAAAUUUUACCUCUAAGAGUGGUGUUACAUCCACCACACUGGUAGACAGAAACAUUGGCAGGUUCUGGUAGAAUAUUAAGACACUUUGGGCACCUCACGAGGCGAAAUCCUCCGGUGUUUGCACUUGCCAUCAAACAAGAAAGGCCAAGGACAUCACCCAAAGCAAAAGGAACACCUGGCUGUAGAUACCAGUUACCACAAAACUACAAUGCUUUUAAAGUUCUUCUAUGCUCUAAUACCUGAAUCCUGCAUCUGCAAACGUUCAAGAAGAUAAUCAUCAGUCUCACUAGCAUAAUAGCAACUCUUGGUUGGAUUAAUAGCAUUAAAAUGUGUUCGUAAAAGGCGUCCAUUGAGCAUGCAUAACAUGUAUAUCUAGAAGCUCAAAUGGGAACAAAUAUAAAGCCCAAGGUACUGUAAGCCUGUAACAAUUCUUGCGCCACAUGCGAAUGAUAUAGCUCCCAAACAAGACAGAAUAAAAUAUAAGGAAAAAAUUGGCACAUCCGUGGCAGUUUUACCUUUGCACUUGAAAGAUUGAAAUCAGUAGGCAAUUAGGCACAUUUGGCCUAUCAGCUAAAUAAGGAGCAGUUUGCUGAGAAUCUUUUGAAAUUGGAAAAAAAAACUAAAGCUAUUUUAAUACUUUUAUUACUCCCUCCGUUCCUAAAUAUUUGUCGCUAUUGCACUAAAACAGCGACAAGUAUUUAGUAACGGAGGGAGCAGACUACAAAAGGUACUGAUUGUUUGUACCCCUUUGUCCUGUUGUCUAUGAGAUCAUGGGAGAACCCAGUUCUUUCAAAACUCUUAAUCUGGCAAUCUGCAGUAGCAAAUCUACUUGAAUGGUCCCUGAGAAUAAUCUACUUGAACUAAUGUUCUCAUGACGAUGACUGCUGAUUGGUAACACAGAACAAUUAUUACUAGUAUAGCACAAAAUAGAACUCCAAUUAGGAUCUCCCAUAAACAACACAGAAGAUUCUUAUACGUAUGUCAUAGAGCUGCAACCUACAACGCAAAAACGACAACGGAAGCGACUCGUGACAUACCGAGCACCAUGAACACCUCAAGGCCCACGCUCGUAGCCUUAGAAAGUCAUGAAGCCGCCUUGGUAUAGAGAGAGGGCGAGGAGAGGAGGAGAAGGAGGGAAAGAUCGGAUAAGAAACUCCACUCCCAUGGACAGAUUGAUAACCACCGAUCCACGAGGAAAUAACCCAGAAGACUGAAGGAAGAAGGGAAAUGAGCAGAAGAGGAAGCAGCCAAGAAAACUCACCUUUCCCGUUCCUCCUCGUUCUUUCCACCACUCCUUCUUCCCAGCCGCAACGGAUCAUGCAGGCUCGGAGACUUGUGCAACCCGUCGUCGUCUUCUCUCUCCCUGUUUCUUUCCCGGAACUCCAACUCCAGUUCUCGGGAUUCCAGCACGCGUUCACCGCUAGACUUCUAGUCAGGUCAGCCGGAACUAUGGAGUACUCCGUUGUAUAAAUAAAAACGGAGGCUUCCCUUCUUCGCGCACAGGGAGGAAGAGGACUGGAGAGGGGGUUGACUGGUAGGAUGCUUUAAUGCUCCCCUAAUCUCUGGUCUGAAGUCUGAACGGAGCUGCGCACCGCGGGGAGACUUUCGUAACGCGCGCGUAGCAGCAGCAGCAGAGAGCGAUAGCGAGGGAGAGGGAGAGAAAGGAAGGAAGAGAGUCAGUGGUCAAACAUGUGCACGGUAUAAUAACGGGAGGAACGGAACGGAACGGAAUGACCCGGGAGGCUGACCGGCUGGAGGGAUGUGUGUGUUGACUCCCGCGGCUUUGGCUGCUCGUUAUCGCUAGCGCGCCGUGGUGGUGGGUAGGCGCCCGGGUUUCUCCGGUGGACUGCGUCGCCGCUCCUUGCCGCCACGUUGGGCUCUCAACUUGUGGUUCCGGAUGCUGCCGUGCCGGGACGCCGUGUGGGGGCCGCCCGCCCUUAUCCACGCGUGCUGUCUCCGCGGUUCCCGCCAGCCUGCUGAUAGCUGUAGGCGCUGCUUCUUUUCUCGGUUUAUCUCCGUUACGUUUUUCAUGUAAUUGUCUGUUUUUCUUUUGGAGAACGGAAAAGGAGCAUAGCCUCUCAAUCUCAUUCCAGAGAUGAAAUCAGAAAGAUUGUUUCUGUGAAAAAACGAUAGGAGUGCCCUAGCCGCCACCCGGCCAGCGCGGCCGGCCCAGAAUCCUGAUUGACUUCGUCUCCUGGCCGCUUCCUCUACGUUUUGAUGUUAUAGGAGCUCUUCAAAAUUAGGGUUUUGUCAACCGACAGCCGAGCUAUGAUGGUGAUGGCGUCACUGUGCGGGUUAAAAAUAAGGUUUUCUCGACUCCUCAUCUACCUCGUCGACGAUGUUCCUGCCGCUGGCGUUGAGGAGUGCGGGACGGUUGGUCGCUACUCUUCCGGAGUGGUGUAUCUGGUUAUGUGAUCGUGCCUUGCAGGUCGUCUAUGCGUUUCGAUUUAUUGGUUCCUUUUCCGAUCGAUGAGACUUUGCCAACUUUGAUCUCAUCGUGGAGUUAGUGCGACCAGGUCUUCUCGGAUCCGUCUGGCCGAAUUUGGGAUGGUCAUCCAACCCUCAUCGUCAUUUUCUUCUUCAGGACGGUGGUCUGUUUCUCAGUUCACUGUCGUCAGCGUCUUCUGGCUCCGACCGGUGACUUCCCGGCUGCUACGUCAACAAUGGUUUCCUGGCUCCGACGUGGUUCGGAGGUCGAGGAGCAGCAUCUAGCUUCGCUCACGACGCGCCACCGGCGAGUGCAGGAGGAAGGCAAUGAUGUUUACUUACAAGAACUUGCGUGUAAUUUUCUUUUACUUUAGAGAUGGUUCUGUAAGAGUUGGUUGAUUUUAAUAUAUGACCUUGACAUUCUCGAAGAAAAAAGAUGAAAUAUCUCGAACACACCGCUCGCCCUUAAGAAGAAGGCGCAAGAAGCGCAAGUACAAAAAGGCCCAAAGGCUCAAAAAAGAGAAAAAACGCAAAAGGCAAAACAAAACAAAAGGAAGAAAAAGGAUACAAGGGUGGUGAAAGGGCUAGGAUCUGGAGGACGCGCGUGGAGGGGGAGGCGGUCAAGAGCUCGCGCACCAGCGGCCCGCCACAAGUCCGCCUCCACAAAGAUGUCCUCGACGAGCCGAGCGACAACCGGGGUGGCUCCCUCGAAAAUGCAAGCAUUCCGAAGUUUCCAAAUCCUCCAAAGAGUGAGAUUAAGGAGCGACCGAGUAACUUUCACCUUUCCCUGCAGUCUACGAGCCCCUGCCGAGAGCCAAGCUACCAAGUCCUCAGAGGGGCGAGGGAGACAGCAAAGUGCUCCAACCCUCGCCAGCACCUCAUGAAGGACCGCCUUUGUGAAGGCACAGCCCAUGAGAAGGUGGGCCAUGGUAUUUCGGUUCCUGAUCACACAAAGGGCAGCAGGCAUUGAAAGGGAGGUUAUGGCAUUCCAGGUGAUUGGCAGUCCAGCAACGGUUAGUGCAGGCAAGCCAAACCCAGAUUCGGCACUUUAACGGAGUCCAACAACGCCAAAUCUGCGACCAAGGUGGAUAAGUCGGGCGAUCCUCAAAGAAGUGAAGGAACGCGGACUGAGCGGAGUAGACCCCAGAGGCCGACCACUUCCAGCGAAGAACGUCCUCUCGACCUGGGAAGAGGACCACGGCUGCCAAGAGGUCGGCGAGCUGGAGAAACUCUAUCAUGCCCUGGGCAUUGAGAGGAUCGGAGAUGUCCUGAAUCCACGCGCUCUCCCCGAGGCCAUCCGUCAGAGCGUGUGCGGGUGACCCUCCGACCAACAACAGAGAAGACAACCGGGGUGAGAAACUCAAUUGAUUUCCCAUCAAUCCGUUAUCUGUCCAGAAAAGAGUGGAACGACCAUUUCCCACAACCGAGCUACAAGCCUCGUGGAAGAGGGCAAGUACCUGUGGGCUGAAACGGAUGCGGAAGGAAGCCUAGGGCUUCCCGACCUCGGUGCGCUGCAACCAGGGCCAGCGGAGCUGAAGGGCAGUGCUAACCAAGUUGGCAUCUCGCACACCAAGGCCUCCAAGAUGGGUCGGGAGACAAGCCUUGGCCCAAGCAACCGCGCAAUGACCUCGUUGAGAAUCAGUCCGACCUUUCCAAAAGAAACACCGCUGCUUCUUAUUGAUGGCAUCGCCAAACCACUUGGGUGUGUCAAUGGCCAAAAGGGUGUGAACCGGUAUAGCCGAGAGGACCGACUUCACAAGGACAAGCCGACCACCCCUCGACAACAUACCGGCACGCCAACCCGCCAGCUUGCGAUCCAUCUUGUCAAGAACGGGCUGCAAAUCUUGACGACGGAGCUUGGAGAUGGAGAGAGGAGCUCCCAAAUAGAGGAUGGGGAACUCCUGAACCGGGCAAGCUAGGUAGUGGCACACGACCUGGAUCUCCUCGGGAGAACAACGAAUGGGAGUGGCUGAACUCUUGAGAAUGUUCGAGCGAAGCCCGGAGGCCUCCCCGAAGAUCUCAAGGAGGUCUAACAGGAUGGUACAAUCCUCCACCGUGGGCUUGACGAAUACAACCACAUCAUCGGCAUAGAAAGAAGCUUGACAUCCCGAGGGUACACCCUGAAAUGGGGAGAGAAGACGCUCGCGAGAGGCCGCAAGGAGGAGGCUAUUGAAAGCGUCCAUCACAAUGACAAAGAGCAUUGGAGAUAGGGGAUCCCCCUGUCGUAGGCCACGACGAUGGACCACCUCCCGGCUAAGACGACCAUUAAUGAUAAUCUGAGUGCUAGAGGUUGAAAGCAGCAAGCAGAUGAUAUCACACCAAGCAUGACCAAAGCCAAGGUGUCGGAGAAGAUCCAACAGGAAGGCCCAAGAGACGGAGUCGAAAGCCCAGGCAAUAUCCAGCUUAAAGAGCACCGUGGGCUGUCUGGAGAUGUGCAGCGACUUAGCCAUUUGCUUCACAAUCAUGAAGUUGUCGUGAAUGGCCAGACCACGAAUGAACGCGCAUUGGUUCGAGGAUACCAAAGAUGGAAGAAAAGGCGCAAGCCAGAGAGACAACACCUUCGCAACCAACUUGGCGAUUCCAUGAACCAAGCUAUUGGGUAUGAGAGGGAGGAGUGCGUGGCUUAGGUUGUGAAAACCCGCCCGCUCGCCCCGAUGGAGCCAGCGGAAGAGCUCGACCACAUCGUCCUUAAUAAUGGGCCAACAAGAGGAGAAGAAAAGACCGGUGAAGCCAUCGGGACCAGGGGCACGGUCGUGAGGCAUAGCCCGGAUGGCAGCCCAAAUCUCGUCCUCCAUGAAAGGCUCCUCCAAGGCACACAGGUCCAUGUGCGGCACUUGAAGGAACUCAAAAUUCAGGGUAUGCGACCUCAUAGCAGGGAAUCAAAAACCUCCUCGAAGAAGGAGGUGAUCGCCUCCUCAAUGCGAUCCUAGUCCACCAGAUCUUGCCCGCCACGAUGGAGCUGCGCAAUAAAGUUCCCCCUUCGGCGAGCGCCCGCAUGGAAGUGAAAAUAGCUAGUAUUAGCAUCACCAUCACGUAACCAAGUGAUCCGAGCUCUGUGGCGGGCAAUAGUACGCUGCAGCAAACACAAGGCUAAGUACUUGAGCUUCAAGCUCCUGCGAAGCCAAGAUUCCAACGGGGAGAGGGAGCGGCGCUCCUGAGCAACCUCAAGACGGAAAAUAAGUUCCACCGCGCAGUCAAUUUGGAGGCGGAUGGCGCCAACGUGCUCGGCACUCCAAGACUGCAGGUCCGACAGACAUUAGGGAGCUUGGCAUCCAGGGCGAAAGCAGGAGAUGAACUCGGAGUGGGGAUAGCCCACGCAGCAGCCACGACCUCGUGAAAGUCAUCCAACUUUGGCCAGAAAAAAAAAGAUGAAAUCAGAGAGCUACAGAUCCACGAAACAGAGACAAGCCAGACACAUACCUGAAGGACAGGCAAACACAUACUGUAUUUUACGCUUCCUCGGCAUGUUCUCUCAACACAAAAUGACACUAUCUGGAUGUAGGUUUGAGAAAAGAAAAGGUGUUUCUGGGGCUAUAGAAAGCAAGGUUAUAAAAGCUCCGUCCACCCUUUGGUCCCAGGUUUCAAAUGGCAUGUAACGCGGAGACAGAAGUAUUGCCAAGAAAAGAAAAAACACGGAGAUAGGAGAGAGAAUUAUUACUACGGUACUGCAUUUUAUUUUUCAUUUCUGUUGGGUGUGUGAUGCCGAAGAACGGGCGCUGCCAUUUCAGUGGACGGUUUAGUGCUAGCAUAGACUGCAUCGUGGAAAAGUACAUGACAGUAGUCAUGUGGCUCUGUGACUCGUGACUGAUCAUAUGGUUGGGAAAUCAGGAGGCCGGCGAGAAAUCAGGAGGUAGGUGAGCUCAUGUGAUAUGGAGCGGCUACUUCUAGAAUCGAGCCUCCACGUACCUUUGUCCGUUUGUCAUCCAUGGUCCUCUGCUCCUUGGUCGUUAGUAACAGCAGGUCCUGCAGAAGUCAAAACAUAGGCGACUUCACGGCGGAUUAAGAAGCGAAAGCAAGAAGAAACGAAACCACACGGCUUAUUGGUUUAGCCAUGAACAGCUGCAUCAGGAGUUCCUGUACCUUUAAAAAAAAAAACAGAGAGUUCCUGUACCUCAAUGCGCACCGGCACGUGAGUAAUUCCAUGGAUCAGCGAUAACCGUCUGGAUUCAGAUAACGAACGGGUCGAGGUAGAAUAGCAUAGCAUCCGUAGCAGCACUGUUGAGCGGUGACGAGUGAUCUUUGAUGGACACCGUCGGGUUGCGCCGUGUAAAAUGUCGGGGAUCAUUAAAUAUGGCUGGCAGAAACUGGUGCCGAUAAAUGUGUCAAAGCUGUCAUGCAAUGCAUCGAUCCAGUCCGCAGAUUGAAACAAAGAAGUACUUGCUCGUGGGGACGACGCUGAUAAGAAGAGACGUCCCGGUUUGUCGCCGGAGGGAUAAAAUAAAAUACAGGGUCCCAGGGUUGAGGCCAGCCAUCACUCCACAACACGCCACGCGCGAGUCGGUCAACCACAUCAGAUCAGCCAGCGUCCGGGUCUCGCAGGGGCCUUUGCUUCACUAGUUAAGAGGCACAGCAACAGAAAAGAACACAUCAGUGGGUAAGUAGUCAGAACCUCCCUUUCAUAAACCAAACAGUUUUUCUUUUGGAAAAAUUAUAAGCAGGAAUCUUGACCUUCUGGCCAGAGAUAUACUAAUAUGUACGACUAUAAUUGUCGUCCAGUCUCCAGUGGUAGCACAUCACUAGAUGAUUAGCCGCAUGUACACUUCAGUGUCAGGCGAAGUCAAAAAAGGCUUCAUCAUUACAUGAGAAAUGAAUUCAACAGGGCCCUGACACUCCCCACAAAUGAAUUAUUUGGUGCCAGAACGAGGGCGUCCGAGGUCGGCAGACAUACUCGCUUUUCACUAACCCACCAAGCCAAAGCACGCCAAAGAUGGCCAAUUAUUUCCUUUCCGUCUCGUGAUCCUCCAAUAUGUACAACCGUGGCAUAUCCUAUUGCGGGGGCAUAGAAAGCACUAACUUGAACAGCGGGGCAGAUUUUCUUUCUGAGGCAGCCAAUGUUGCUAGUGUUUUGUCGUGUCAAUAUUCCAUUGGCAGCUCCCACUCAUCCUCUGCAUCCCUCGUUUUCCUAUGGAGUUCUCUGUCCAUGGACUUGCCCUGACUGUUUUGUCUCUUAACAGUCCUAGCUCUUCGCCUUCCGUAUCUCGAGUACUGACCUGUCUGAUCUCCAGGACGUUGGAUAUUUUGAGUGCCCCAGAUGCCCUGACAUUCAGUUAAAGAGUAUCCUCACUCAACAAGGUUGCUGCUUCCAUUAUGACAUCAUCUCCAGGUGUAUUUUAAGCAGAAUCAUUGUAUCAAAAAUAAUAAUCAGCAACGCAGACCUGUGUUACCCGUUGAACUCGAGAUACUGCAUCUUCAUGCACAACAAUUGUAUCGGAAACUAUAUCAAGCACAUCUUCAACAAAUAAACAGUAUGUGCUUACCUGUAAUGGAAGUAAGAGGUAUACUGAGAUAGAAGCAGAGAAUUUAGAAAGCUUAUAUGUAAGAUGACAAGUAGGAGCAGUCAAAUUACCAGACUAGCAGGGACAAUAGUAAGACCAAAUGAGUCAAGCUCAAGAGACUCCAUAGCACCUGAGUUGACGUCAAAGGUGAAGCCACGGACCUAAAUGAUUUAAAAGGUAGCCUAAAAACAUCAAAAUUAAGUAAACUCUUCAAAUGCAAAUGAGAAAUGAAAUUCAUGCAGAUAACCUCUCUUGAAGACCAGAUAGACUCACCUUACCGACAUUGCGCCCCCUGGAAGUUAUAACAUUGUAGCCAACCUAAAUAUUGAUGUUGCAGAACUGUAAAUAACGAAGAAUAUAAGUACUUCACGGUUCUGAUCUUUCCUACUUACAAACCACACAUCCUCGCUAUUAUGUGGUCAUUAUAUAGAAGUUGUGAUUGUUUGUUGCAUAUAAUUGAUGAUAGAUCCCAAACAAAUGCACUUUGGCAUGUUGCAUUCUCACUAUUUUCUUUGCAGUUCUGUAGCAUCGCACGGGCCCUACACUAGUAUUGUCAAGAACUUGAGAUCAAUGAACUAUUCUUUGGAGAGAAGGCUGCAUUACGAGGGGUUCCAACAAAUAAGGAGAAGAAUAUUCCCUUUCUAUAAGGCUGCAUAAAGUUUAUCUCAUAGCGUGACAUCAAUACAGAUUACUUUGGCCAUGGGGACAAAGCAUAUGUAUUUGUCUAAAAUAACUAUCAUACCCUUGUUUUGCUCCUAGGCACCCUAACUAUUCUCUCAAAUCCCAUGUUCACUCUCCAAUGAGAAAUUAUUGGGAAAUAGAUCCACAUAUUUUUCGAGAAAACGCAAAGCUUGCGUCUCGACGCAUUGAUAGAAAGAAAGUAUUUACAAGCCCAAGAACAGGCCAACACAACCAAUCACUCAAAACAAGAACACGACCAACGACCGCUAAAUUAUCAUUACAACCACGCCACCAAACAACCGCAGGCCUAAAUGCCAAAAACACAAAAGAACAGGAUAGCGAAGGCGCCGCGGCCCGCCGGCCUCACAGAACUCGAAGACAAGCCCGUGAGGCGUCUCGUCAACUGCAGAAGCCUCGGGUCGCCGAUCGUCGCGCUCGUCCCGAACAAUGCGCCGUCAUAUCUCACCGCUCCCCUGUUGGUCAUAACAAACGUCAGGCUUCGUCGGUCGAUACCCGUCGAGUGCACCCAUGCGACCAAGAUGUCGCAGCACAGGAUCCUCCGCUAACCACUAACCGUGCCGUCCAAGGUAGUGCACUUGCCCGAUGCCAGUGUACCCAAGGCCUGCUAGCUAGAGCCAAGGCAUAUUCCGUGGGAACAUACUCCAGCCAAGUGUUAUCCUCCAAGAACAACACCUCCAACAAGGGAGCGACGUCAACAACUCCGCCGUCAUCCGAUUUGGCUAGCCAAAUCUAGGUUUUCACCCGAAGGAUUGGACCACAUGGGAUGGAGGUUGGUCGAGGCUCCUCGACGAUGCCACCAAGGAGGGAACGACGCCCGAGAGCGUCGCCGUCGUCGGCACCAAAGAAGGUCAGGCUAGGCUUUCGCCCGGAGCACCACGACAAAACAAAAGUACCCGCGGCAACCCGCACCACAGCAAAGUCUAAGCAGCGCCGACAACCGCACAAGUGCAAGAACCUGGAUGGCCCACCGUCCAACCAUCAAAGGUCACCACACGCCGCACAACAUGGCGCACGCACCGGCCACAAUCCCAACUCCGGAAGGAGUUGGCACAUGGCCCAAAUGGCCUGUGCACUGGCCAACCCAGACCCGCGGCAGGAACGCCCAGAUUUGCAGUUACCAGUGCACACGACAACACCCCAAGCUAGAGCUCGGCGAAGUGCCAGCUGCAAGGCACGGGGUGCCGUCGGAUGGGCGUAGAGGCGCGCACCGCACAACCUGCAGCGCGACGCCGGCGACCACAUCAGGCCACACACCAACACCCGUCUCCCUCCAGGCACCGGCCAACCACGUGUGGCCAGCCAAGCCGGCCAACGCGCACCAAGCAUGCCUCCUGAGCCAUCUCCCGAGACCCCCCGCAACCUCCAACCAGACCCUUGAAAGCACGGCCUGCCGCCCAGCAACAGCAGCGACACACGUCGGAGCACCCUGGCGAUGCUGGGCACACUGUCCAACCGACAACGCAGCACCAGCAGCAGCGGCGCUCACAGGACCGAGAAAACGAACCUGGAGUCGUGCCCGCGCCGCCACUAGUCGGAGCCCUCCCGCUGGAGUCGCGGCCGCACCGCCCCUGCCUGAAUCAGGCUGCCGCGCAAGGACCUCGUGCCAGCACCUCCGCGAGCCGGACCCAGACCGCCACGCAUCUGGCCCUCGUGCCCGCGCCGCCACUGGUUAGAGUCCUCCCGCCGGAGUCGUGGCUGCGCCGCCGCAGACCGGGCCACCACCGCCAGAAUCAAGCCGCCGCGCGAGGACCGCGUGCUAGCACCCGCGAGCCGGACCCAGGCCGCCGCGUAUCUGGCCCCCGUCGCCGGAAACAUGCCACCGCGAGUGCGAGAGAGAGAGAGAGAGGGGAGGGAAGAGGGGUGAGAGGAGGAGAUGGGAUGGCAGCGGCUGGAAGGCCCUGCCGCCGCCGCGGGCCGGCCGGCGGCCGCCGACGGCAGCGGUAGGGAGAGGGAUGGGCGGAGGAUGGGGGUGGCGGCGGGGUAUCGCCCCGUGAGUCGCAGGAGCGGCUCGCGGGGCGCUAGGGUUUCUUUGACCGGGUAGUCAAUAGAUCCACAUAUCCAUGAGAGCAAUGGUCAUGGGGGCAUAAUGGAAAGAAUGGAGGGAAGAAUGCCUAGAAAUAUCAGGAACAGUAUUUGAAAAGUUGGACAGAGUCUUAGUAAGCACUCAAUGGGAGGCCCUUUAUCCUGAAUUCUAUAUUAAAACUUUGCCUAUGGUGAUUUGUAAUCAUGCUGCGUUAGCAAUGGACUUAGGAUGAUCAAACAAAAAAUUGGCAGAUUGUUUAGGUUUGAGUUGUCUGGUUUUUUAGGGAGGAUCUGGCUCAGGUUGCGGAGAAGAUCUGGAAGGAACAGUAUUGUGGUAGACCUUUUCUGUAUAGGUGGCAGAAUAGGAGUACAAAUUUUGGGAUACCAUUAAAAGGUUGAAACUGUAACUAUGAGGGUUGGUACAAGGGUUAACCAUAGAAGAAGCAGAAAAAAAAAAAGAAAAAAGGUUUUAAUGGAAAGCGUAGACAAAAUAGAUAAGGAAAGUGAGGUGUUGGGCCUCACUGCUGAGAACUAUAGGCUGUAAAGGAUUUAGAUGCCCAACUUAAUAAGAUUACUAGGGAGGAUGAAAUCGAGUGGUUACAGAGAUAUAAAUUGAAAGACCUGUUGGAAGGGGAUUUCCUUAACCUCCUACUCCGUACUUCAAAGCCAAGCUAGUGGCACGAAGAGGAGGAAUAUGAUCGUUUCCCUGAAGCAGGAAAAGGAUUAAUUCAAGGGGAUAGAGAUAUACUGCUUUAUGCUAAUGGGUUCUAUACAAAACUCUUUGGUCCUGCUGCUUCUGAUGCUAAUGUUAGUUUGGAAGAACCUGUAGAGUGUGUCCUAGACGAUGUGGGUAAGAGUUUAUUAGAUAGAAUGUACAAUGUUUUCCAGAUGGAACACAAUAAAACUACUAGACCUCAUGGGUUUCCCAUUGAGCUCUAUCAAAGGUUUUGCUAUCUGAUUUGUAAUGAACUCAUGUUUCUCUAUGAACUAGCGGGAUGACCGACGCAUUUGCGCGGCUAGACUUAUUUCUCUGCUGGUUAAUUAUUUGAUAUCAUGGUUAAUCAUUGUUUGGUUUCUUACGUCUCAACCAACUGAGCUUUUACUUUUGGUUUUAUCUGGAUUUUUUUUUUGACAAUUCGGUAAAUAUCUGACUCCUCAUUUAUUGACUUAGAUUUUUAUUACAAUUAUCAAUCGAUUGCUACCUAGCCAGGAGUAUCUUUUCUUCAUCUAACUUCCAGUCGAGAACUAACAUACUUGAUUGGCUCUAAUCUGCUUCCAAAAACAUCUCUCUUAUUGUUGGAACCUUUUGAACUUAAUUAAAACGUACUGCAUCUCUCCAAGUAAACAUUUUUUUGCCCUUCAAGUGCCGUGAGCAUGCAUUAUUAUAACUGUGCUUAGUCGUUGCUUAAUUCCGCUUGUGUGAGCUUGCAUGGUUGGAAACGUUGUUGUAAUAUUCAUGAUUAAUUGGAAACCAUGUUGUACUUGUUGUCUAACUGUGCUCGUGUAUCAGGGCCGGAAGACGUUGAAGUAUUGCUGUAUGUAAUGUACUCCCUCCGUCCCAUAUUAAGUGACUCAAUUUUGUCUAAAUAUGGACGUAUCUAUAUACUAAAAUACGUCUAGAUACAUGUAAUAGAAAGUCACUUAAUAUGAGACGGAGGAAGUACUAAAUAUUGUUUCUUUAUACUCCUAUUCAUCUUUAAAUCGUAGAUGUUAUAACCAGGACCCACAACAGAAUCAAUGGAGGAGAUUAUUUAGCCUAUGUGGACGAACGUGGUGGCUUGGCUUCUUGUCCUCUUGUUUUAAUUAUAUGAUACUCCCUCCGAUCCUAAAUUGUUGUCAUGGUUUUAGUUCAAAUUUGAACUAGAACCACGGCAAGAAUUUAGUAUCAGAGGAAUAGAUUUUACCAUGGGAAACUUGAUCUGUCUAGACUAAACUAUGGCAUUCGCAGCUUGAUUGCUAAGUCACAGGGUGAUGAGAAUCCAGUUAUGCAGACUCAUUUGUUUAUAGAAUGUCCUGUUUAAAAUCUUUCACAAAAGUUAUGAACAAUAUAGCCAUUUUGGUAGCUGAUAAGGUUGUAUCACUUGUACAGACUGCUUUCGCAAGAGGGAGAUACAUAUUAGAUGGUGUAGUGCUUUUACAUGAAACCUUGCAUGAGAUUAAUAGAUCUAAGUAGAGCGAGUUCUCAAAAAAGCUUAUGACAAGGUUAACUGGAGUUCUAUUCAAGAUGUUUUAGUUAUGAUGAAGGGCUUCCCUGAUAGGCUUUUAGAACGAGUUAUGAAAUCUGUGACCGGGACAUGUUGGUGUCAUGAUGAAUGACCAGUUCGGACCGUACUUUAAAAUGAAAAAGGGUUUGAGACUUACAAAGUGACGUAUGUUUUUGUGCAGAGGGAUUUUAUACUGAUGUCUUAGUUUAAAAUACAUACAAUAAAAUCAGAAACAUGAACCGUUGUUCGAAUUUAGAAAGGUAGGUAGCAUACCAAGCUGUGUAGUCCAACUAGCUUAACUUCGUUCUCAAACACAGAUUCAUCUUCAACAAGCACAACAUCUCCUACCUACAAAAGAAAAUAGUAUGAGUACCUUACAUAUCAUUCAAACCGAAGUUUUUGCUUUACUUUUGAUAAUAAUAUAAAAUUUGUAGUGUCAAGGUGGAUAACAAGAAUUAAAACGUACAAUAAAAAAGAAAAUAAGGUUUUUGAGUCCUACCUGAUAAAUAUCCUCAAAAAGGAAAUUCUCAGCUUCUCCUGAAAGCAAGCUUGGCCUCACUUCAACCAACGAAACUACCCACUGGAGAAAAAUGAAAAAAACAAAAUCAAGAAAAGGUGGUGUUAGUCUUAAAAAUCAAUUGUUAACAAGGAAUAAUGUCUGACUCGGAAUAAAAGCCUGUUCAACUGUGACAAUUGACUACAGUAUUUCUGCUACUAGGAAAAUGUUUUCUUCAGACAUGCUAAUCCUAAGAACUAUCUCAAAAACAAAAAAAGGUAAGGUCCAUUCCAAAAGAAAAGGAAGAAGAGGAAGGUGGAGUGGAGCCUAUGAGUCUAUGACAGUAAACUAGAUUCUAUACAAGACUUAAUCAGUUAAUCUAUGAUUGUAAACUGGGAUAAAGACCCAUAAUGCCAGGGAUGUCUUCAUUGCAGUGUUAUUACAGGAUGUCAAUACUUGGAGAACUAAUGUGACAAGCAGUAAUAUUCACCAACACCAAAUGAUACACUCACAAAGUUACUUUUGCUGUGUCUGUGCUCUUUCUCGGGUGCAGGUGCAAAUCCUGAGGGUAUUGGAGCUUGGCCCCAGGAUGAGGCGAGCUAGAAAAUCCAGGUGAUAUUUAUGGUUGAUACUGACAGACGAGCAGGCUGAAGUUUCACUGCCUGAGGUGUGAUAAGUUGAGAAGUAUGAAUUCUUGUACUGUCAUAGAAGUUCUUAUUUUGACGUAAAAGUUGGAAUCAAGACCCUACUGGUUCAUUAGUCUUGUAAGUCAUCAAUGGCAAAAAGAAAUCAUGGUUUUCCAGCUGCUGUGGUAAGCAGGGAAUUUCCUUUAUUUAAAGCAAAAUACAUGGUCUUAGGUGUGGUUUAGCUCUCUGUGAAUUCUACUAGAAAAAUGGGUCUACAGGGGGGGUGGGGGGGGAUGAAUGAUGAAGCUUUGCAACACACCUAGGCUAAAACCUGAACACAAAGCCCUUAUUUGUACCCGCAUUCGCAACCGGUGGUGUCCAUUUCUUGCAUCCUCCUGACCUAGCAAUCCAGCAUAGGCAAGCAAGGACAAUACAUCACCUUCCCUACAGCUGGAGCUGGCCAAGGGCAGAUUUGGAGACAAUGUUAGAAUUUGCGCUAAGAUGUACAUGGUUUGCAUCAUGCCUUUUUAUUCAGCCUUUUAAAUUAUCUUCAUAGCAACACAUCAUCAUAAUCUAUGCACCCACCCAUCAUGGUGUACUCAUACACUCACCCUUCGGUUUGGGGACUUUGGGUGCUAAAUCGCCCUCGAUUACUAUGCCUGUGUAUAAAUUUUUAAGAGCAAAAAAAUGAAAAAAAAACCUGGCAAAUGAAAAGAAUAAGACAAAUACUUCUAUUCACAACAAACUUGUCUUCUUUGUUUCAUUUCACACAUAUUUAAAUGUAAUACUUCUGAAAUUGUUCAUGAUGAUCUGCUGCCCAAACCAUAAAGUCAGGAAAUGAGUGCACUAUAAUGUGUGAAUGGCUGGGCGCACAUGCUUUCUGCUCAAUUCUAAUAGCAAGAAUAACAUUUUAGCAUUCUCUAGUCAUAAUACCAAACGGGCGCUCUUGAAAUACUCAAAAUCGCCUGACCAAAGAUGCAACUGACCCUUGACAUGUCACAGUUUAUGCUAUUAUAGGCAAACAUCCACAGCUAGUUGAUCUUAUUUACGAGAGAGAGAUCCAAACAUUGUGUGGGAGAGGUGUCGUUAGCAGCCAGAAAAUUGUGCUAACAGAGAAAAUAAGAACUACAACAUGAACUCAAGGCAACAUGAAGCAGGUGCACCUAGAAGCAGCCUGUAAGGAGAGCUGCAACUCAAGGCUCCACGCUGCGCUGGUGUGAAUCACCUGCUUCACGAGCAGCUCCGAUCACUUAGCUGGGACCUGGGUGUCUGAAAAUCAUCCUAGGUCAAAGCCUUGUAAGACACAUUAGGCCAAAACCUGAACCUGAACCCUUUUUCUUUUACUCAAGCCGCCAACUGGGGUUGUUCAUUUAUUGUACCCUCCUAACAUAAAAAAUCUGGUCAACAAGGAAACUACUCCUGUUGAAAACACAGAUUAGCAUUUGGGUUAAGAUGUACAUUAAUUGUUUGUAGGUUGUGGCAUUUCUAGACAUUGAUAAAUUCACAAGCAUUUUCUGCUCAAUUGAAUUAGCUUUUUUUCUUUUUUUUCGAAAAGGGGGGAAACCCCGGCCUCUGCAUCAAUCGAUGCACACAGCCAUUUUAUUACGAAGUUCAGUGUCACAGAAACACAGCUUAUGCGUCACUCAAGGUUGACACAAAAAUCAGCCACCGGAAUAAAAGAUACAAAAAAUGCCUAUGAAUUAGCUAAUUGAAACAAUAGUUGGGCACUUGGGCCCUACAAAUUGCCUGAGCAAAGCUGCAAUCGACCCUUCACAUAACACAGAUCACACCAUUAAUGGCAAACAUCCACAGCUAAUUGAUCUGAUUUACGAGAGACGAGUCCAAAUACCGCAUAAACGGAGUUAGCAGCUUCCUAAUGGCGCUAACUUUUACAGAUAACUUCACAUAUUGCGCGAGAUCGAUUAUUAACAGUUUAAUGCCCUGUUAAGGCCAAUCCAAACAGUAUAAAAUUUGUCUUCUGGUCAUGAUGAUACAUGGCGACAGCUGAAGACGCAAAAACAGCAGAAGUAACAAACCAACACGAGGUUAUGAAAACGAAAACAAGUGCAGGGAGCAGCAGGCCGUACCGACGCGGCGUCGACCCAGAGCUGCGACACGAACCCGAGGCUCCGCGCCGAGCUGACGCUGAUCACCUGCUUGGCCAGCAGCCCCGACCGCCUCGCCAUCUGCCUCCUUGUCCUCCUCCCGCUGCUACCACUCCUCUUGGCCUCCCUCUCGCCACUACCCUCACUGACAAUACCGUCCCCUCCACUACCUCCUCCAUCCUUCGGCUCCACAGCUACGACAGCCGCCGCCUCCUCCUCCUCCUCCAGCUCCCGCUUCAGCGCGAGGAAGUCGAAGCUGGACGACGGAGCGCCGUCCCGCGCGGCCGCGCGCGCGACGAGGGCGCGGCGUAGUGGCGUUGAUCCGUGCGCAGAGGUGGGGUUAGGCUUUGGGUUUAGGUUUGAAGGGGCCGGGGGCGCGGGUUUGAAAGGUGGAUGGGGGAGGGGGGCGCAGGAGCACAUUGUUGGCAAUAGCAGUAGCACGAUUGAAUGGUGAGGAAGUCGGAGAUGAUCGGAGGAGACGAUGGGUGAGGUUUGGGCCGAUGGGAAGCCCAUGGGAAAAAGUAGCGUGUACAGGAAUGAGAAAGCCCAUGGGAAAAAGUAGCGGAGAACACGGAAUGAAAAUGUGUCUGUCGCUUCAGAAAGAAAACGUGCAGGAAAAAUGGAAGGGUAUAAUUAGGGGCAUGUCCAAUACGAGUUACUAAGCAGUUACUGACGAGUACAUCCAUUUCACAGAUGCAACCGUGGCAUUAUAAGGAUCAAUUACUCGUGCGCGUGCGCGCCAACUCAAUAGUCAGAUACUUUCGUUUUUUCUAUGAACAAUCUAAAUGAGAAUAUGAUUAUGCCCAAAUCAGAUGCUCUUAUGUUGAUUAGAAAUUGUUGUUGUUCUUGACAACAAUUAGAGUAAGGGGUGUCAAUGCUCGAUGGCACAAGUGCGGGUAUAAAUAUAGAGCGUGUACACCGGCCUUAUAGCGAAAGUCGCCGUACACUCGGACAAGUUGACACGUCGAUAUUUUUUGAAUAGGUUCGGUCUACUCUGCAGGUGCGAUUUAAUCCUAUGUUAGGAAAAGCUUCGAGGGGGUUGUUAGCCGAGGGCUUGGGCCGAGCGGAUCUUCCCAAGACACCUUUUGACGAGAGGUUCGUCGGGGCCGCCUCGUACUUGGACCGAACGUGUCUUUCCAAGUAUCGAGGUUAGGAUACCCUCGGAACUCUAACCCAACCCCUUCUCUUUCGAGUCCGGGCCGAACACGUCUUCCCGGAUCUCGAAACUAGAGCUCUUUGCAAGAGGCUCUAACCCUCUUUCCUUGAGUUUAUUCAAAUUGAGAGUGAAUGAUACAUGCCCCCAUGGGGGGGUAUUUAUAGCCUAGGGGUCCAUGAUAAAUGACCAUGGCUACUCUUGAGGGAGAGAGAAAAGUGGAGGCAAACUGGUAAAAGUAGCUCCUUUGGUUCAUAACUUUUGUGUGCACCAUGUGAGGAAAGUAGGGCUUACCAUGGACCAAGGGCCCCAUCCUCUCACAUUUCUUGUCCCCCACUCUAACUCAUUUGACCCCUUGACUAUGGCAUGAGAGGUUUGACUCGUUGACUAGUCUUCCUCUGUCACGUAGGAUUGUCCGCGUCACGUAGGUGUCUUUGACUCGUGCUUGUGGAAUGUUGACUUGGUCGUCGUCACGUAGGAUUUACGGCCCGUCCCAUAUAAGGGUUUUAUUUUACUACAGAAAUGAAGAACCGAGCCGUGACACGAGCAAUGGGAGCAAGUCGAACUUCGAGGAUGACGGCACGCAUGCGAAAGAAAAAACGGUGCAGUAACUACCAGAAGAAUACGAGAAGCUGCAGCCACUUAAAGUCAUGCGAAGAGAAGAGAUGCUUGGGCUGCCACUUGCACUUCUAAUGGGCCCAAGGCCAUGUCACAGCCCAUCCCAUCUUAGGAUCUAAAAUUUUCCAUCUCCCCUCCUCUAUAUAAGUGCAUCCACCAUCCCUUUGGCUGGUUGGUUUUUGUUUAGAUAAGUUAGCCAUUGCUGCAACUUCGAAUUCCCACUAGUGUCGGCUAGACCUACUGGAGAACCGCUACGGAACCCACCUUGUUACUCGUCUCCUUGAGAUUGUUGUACUUCGUCUAUAUUUGCUAUUUCAGAUUGUCUUAUCUGGAUUCUUGCUUGUUCUCGAUUGCUAGCAGGGAUUGGAACUUCGUGUUCAGGCCGGUUGACGGCGCCUUCGGUUCCGUCAAUAAGCACAAGGAGUUGGUGUAGCGAUUGCUAAGGCGCACCGUCUAGUGGCCCGUAUAGUCGGGUCGUCAACGUCUACUUCUGCCCCAGACCGUAGUUAUCCUUCUCACUGAAGGAUCGGGCCACCCCCAGCAGCCAAGGAACGCGUCAGUUACUAGUCCUACGUAACGGAUAGAUGGAGAGAAAAAGUCAGUACUAGUUAGAGCAAGAUUAAUAGUUUAGCCUACCGCUGGCUGUAAGAUUUGCCAUGUUAUAUUUAAAUAAUAUAAUAACUAGCAUGUAUUAACAGCAUGUCUGCAAUUACAGUCUCACGGUGUGCCUAGAGGCACAUGUAGCCAGUUAACAUGAAUUUAAAUACUUCUCUUCUCUUUCCUUCAACUAAGCACCAAUAUAGUAUUUAAAUUCUUGUAGCCAACUAAUAGCCCACUAUUAUUCUUGCUCUUAUUUGCAGAAGUAACAGCUUGUGCACAGAUCCAAGAAUGAAAAGAGAAUGACAUGUGGGUCCAUUAGAAAAAAAGAAGAGAAUAAACAAAAGAAAGAGGAGAGAGAUGGAAAUUAGUAACGGCUUGCUAUUGAAGAUGCCCUUAUUCCUCAACUGAUUAUUGUAGUUAUUCGAUUACGAGUUUCUGUUUUUCGUGCUUGUAUGAAUCUUUCACGCAUCUCACUAGUUAAAUCAGAAGGUUAUUACCGUCUACUUAGAUUCAGUCGCCUUAGAAAUAGCAAAACUAUAGAAAAUAUGGAGAUGUUUUGUUUUACAACAAUUUUGUGAUUGGCAAAUAGUAUUUGCUUCCAUAACUUUGAAAGAGGUUUUUGAUGCCCAUGUUGCUCAAAGUAGGCAAUAAAUAAAUAAAUAAAUAAAUAAAUAAUAAGAGUUGAUAAUUGAGCAUUGGAAUAAAAAUAAAUUAGAGCUGGUAAUGGAGCAUUGGAAUUAAAAAAAAAAAGGGGCCUCACCCCUAAGCUGUAGCCGCUCCACUACAUAGUUACCGUAUUUUUAUAUGCAUAACUGAAUUGUCUGGGUAGAACUGGCGGACGCCAUAAAACAAGUAUCAACGGAAGAAGAAGAAAAACUACUACCAGCAAGCUGCAUAGGUUUGCCUUGCUUUGUUCGAUUAAGCGUUUGGUUUGAGUGAUUGGCUGUCUUAUGGCCAAAAAGGCAUUUUGAUGGAGUUCCACAAGCAAAGAAAAUGCAUUGAACGCCUGGGCGGCUCAAAAAUAUUAUCCGGUUGCCCUUUUUUAUUUUUAGUUUGCCUGAUAGCUAUAGGCCAUGUCGUUGUCCAUCUAAAUCAAAAGGAGUGUCGGAGAUAAGAAAAAGAACCCGUUCAAAAUGUGCAGCCCUAGAAAACGAGUGGUUUGCCCGGACGUAACGGCGACGGAUGCUUAUUAGCAGGGUCCCCCAGGUUCACACGUUCCCUAAGGUCACACGGCUCUGGUUUACUUUCUUCGUCUCCACGAACCAGCACCCCGUUUGCAAAGGAGGCUCCGAUUCGUUUCUAGCCUCAACUUGCUAAGCAAUGUUUUCGGCCAGCCUACAGGAAAUUGUCUUUUUUUUUUUACUUGGUUGGCUUCCAAACAAUUGGGUAUGCUAGUGCAUUUUGUAGCUACGACAUUCACAAGUUACUUGGCAUAUAUAAUGUAUUUUUAAGGCAACCUCUAUUUCACAACAAUCUCAGCAUAAAGAAACCAUUUAAUCCAAAAAAAGGUUGCUUUGUUGGCAGCCUAACUCUCGGUUAGUAGAUGAGGUAAGUAGAAAGAGAUGUUAGCUAUGCGAAGCUAAGGACAGAAAGUAGACAUAUGCAGAUGUUUUCUAAUCCCUUUGUUCCGAUGAACCAAGCAAACCCAAAUUUCAAAUUUGGGUGGAAGUGUGGAACCAUUUGAGAAGAUACCUUGUCCAAUAUCCAGAAAGCGGAAUCAGUGCUCACCUGUUAAGAUUUUUUUUGUUUGCAGGUCUCACCUGUUAAGAAAUUGACCACAACAUUUUUGUUCUGGUGAAAAUUAUGAAAUUGGAAGUGUUUCUAUAUAUCUCGCCCCUUCCCGUCUUAAUUGCUCUUUGUUUGCACCCUCUCACAAUAUAUUCCUGGAUACCGGGCAUUAAUAUCAUCGGUAUGAAUAUUAUGCACCUCAUUUUAGAACCUAUCUGCAUGUCAUCCUUAUCUAUUCGAUCGAUCAAUCUAUCUCCAUGUCAUCUUUAUCUAUCCGGUCAAUCAAUCGAGUAAUUGGUUCUCAAAACUUGCACGUAAUCGUUGCAUAUCCAAAUAUUAAUCCAUUGCCCCUGAUUUGAACACCAAAACUUCCAUGCAAACAUAAAACAUGUGGAGCAGCUAUUGACACAUUAUGCAUGAAAACAAUAUUCUUUGCGCAACUUUCACAACAUGCCUCCUCGUUCAUGGACUUAUCCACACGGCAGAGCUCAGUCUUUUGGCCGGAGCAAAACUGCAAAACCAAAGCCAAAAACUCGAAGUAACCUUGGCGCCAAACUAUUAAGAAGAAAAAACUUGCUUUUGUGCGUCCCCUCUUCCUGCCCAGUUCCUAUGACAGUGGGUCCCGCCUAGUCCAACUGGCGGGCCAUCUUGUCAUCGCAAGCAUAUUCGCCAGUAGCCAACAAGCAUCGCGCAGCCCACCGCGCGAUCCCGUUUCGGUGCCCACCAAUCCGACCGCGACACGCGUCCCAGCACGGUUACGGGAGCCCCGCGUCCCACGCGCCCAAGCUAUAAUAGGAGCUCCCUCGCCGCGCGGCCGCAGGGGAUCGCCGACCACUCGCCGCCGCUUCCAGCCGUCCCCCCUCACCCUCUGCAAAGGUUCGUCCGUCGUCGCGGUCUCCUCUCUCUCGCGCCCUCCUCUUCUGCUCCCCUCCAUCCUUUUCCCCUGCCCGGGCAGGUGGGUCUGCGCUGCCCGAGGCGUUCGUCCCCCUCGCGCACACGCCUCUUUUACGCAUAGUUUCGUCGAUUUUCCCGAGUGCAGUUAUCGUUCUGGAAUUGGUGACCGGACCGCUGCGCAUUGCGUGCUUUGCGGCCUCCAAUUGCGCACUUUGUGUUUUCUGCACGGCGCAGAUUUGUGCGUCUGUUAGAUCUGUACCGGAUUGCGUUCUUUGGAUCUAUGGUGCUCGAGGGGGAGGUGUCGAUUUGGGAUUUAGCUAAAGACUUGAGUUUUGAGUUUCCGCGGUAGUGUAUUUUGGCGCGUGUAAAUUGGGAAAUUUUGGUUUCAUAGGGUUAUAUUUUGGAUGUAAACUGAGAGGAUUCGUGGACAACUGGACACGCGUUACUGGAUGUAAAUUCGUGAGCUGUCCAGUGAGUUUGAUUAUUCCCUGUUCCCGUUUUUUUUUGCAUUCACCCCGUUCUUGGCAGAUUUGAAUGUCAAUUUUAGUUAAGCGUCAUGUUUGGAUAGGCACUAGAUCCGACUUUAGGAUGGACAUUUCUCCGAUAGGGGUUAAGUCGAGUUAGAGGCCUAUUUUUUGUUAUCGUGGCAGUUUUUGGGCUAAAUUUCGAAUACCGUUGAGGAAAUUUGGAUUUUCUUACGGCCAAAUGUCAAAUUUAGAACAAACGGCCAAAUGGCCAAUAGUAAAUUACUUUUAAGAAAACACGUUAGUCCUUGAUGAUUAAGGCAACAUGGUGCCCUCUGCAUUGAAUUAUACAUGGUUUCUUACUCGAAUAUCCCCCAAGUUCCCUCCACCUCCAGUACCUCACGUAUCAGCAUGGUUAAUCUUUUGUGAGCUCUCCAAUAUGUUUGUUCCCUGUUCCCUUUACUCUGGCAUGCAUCCUGAGAGAUAUUGAUGCCAUUUUAGGUAGAAGUUAUGUUGGGAUAGGCACGAUCCGACUAAGGGUGGACGUUUCUCUGACAAUGGAGUUCAAGUUUGAGAUCUGUUUGGUUCUCGCUGCAGUUUUGGGGCUAACUUUGGAACACUGUUGUUCCUCUCUUUGAAAAACCAUUUUUUAUGGUCAAUAGCAAAUUGCUCUCAAGAAUAUUUGAUUAAGGGUGCCAUACGGAUUGAAUUAUACACUACCCCAGUUAUCAGCAUGUUUAAUUAUUUGGUUAGGUUUAUGCUCUUCCAUCUAGAUUAUGAAGUGAUACUUAGUUGCGAUGUACUGGAACAUAGAAUUCCAGUGAAAACACUUGCCAGCUGGUGAUUGUUUUUCCCGCCUUUUACCUACUAUUGUAGAUUGUAUUAUGAUAGCUUACCCAGAAUCAUAAUGUUGCUUCUGCCAUCUUGUAACUUUCUACUCCACUCCACUCAUGGUUGUGCGUGCUGUACUGAAUUCCAUGACCACCUUCAUGCAUGGGCAGUUGGGCAGUAGUCAAUGUCCAUCCUAUCCUGACAUUCUUCUUUACUCUUGUUUUCUUUCCUUUUUAAUCUUCUUAGCACAAGCUUCCUUUCUUGUGAAGUUAACUAUAUUUUCGUUCUGCUUGCAGCCCAUAGACAAUUGAUCUCAUGUAUUCAGGAAGAACAGUGGCAUCCAGAGUUUCCUGUUCAUCGGGAAACAACGGAAGCUUCCCACCUUGCCUUCUCCCAGGAUUCCUUGGUUUCCCUGUUGUCUCCGUGAACUUCCACUUGUUCAAGGCCAUUGUUCGCAGCCCUGCAUCUUCCGUUGUCUUGGGUAUCUCUGGAGGGAACCUCCCUUAGAGAGAGCUGCCUCAUAAAGACUUUGUUGUAAUUUGAGAAUCGAGAGUCACUCAGCUACCGGUCGCUGAAAUUCUUCCGUGGCAUCAAGACCCUAAACUGCUGAAUCUCGGGCGCUUGAAGAUGGUUUCCUCUGAGAUAAAUUCUGUUACAACAACUCAUGCACAGGGGCCCAAGCUCUUCACAGGGACCAUAAUUCUGCCAAAAGGGCCUCCAGAUGUUGUAGUUCCUGAAAAUAUUGAGUUUGAUUUUAAUGAUGUUUUUGGUGCCACGGCAGUCCAGACACCCACAGAAGUAAGCAUUCUCACUCCAGAGAGCCCUGCACCUUUCGCUGAGUCCAGUGAUGAGGUAUACAAUGAUCCUGUAGUCAUUACCAAGCGAUCUCAUUCUCUUGUUGGUCCAACCUCACUUGUUAGCCAGUCCUUGCCACUUAGUAAGCUUACACUGCAUGAGACGGAUAGCACGCCAGAUCUUUUAGAGUGUCUUUCUAAAGAAAAGGAAAGUAAUCAGGAUCAACUUAGUGAUGAAGAGCUAACCAAUCCAAAAAAGGAGAACGAGGUUGUUGGACUCGAUGACUUUGAAGUCUUGAAGCUUGUGGGCCAAGGGGCAUUUGGCAAAGUCUAUCAGGUGAGAAAGAAAGGUACUUCUGAAAUAUAUGCAAUGAAAGUCAUGAGGAAGGACAAGAUUUUGGAGAAGAACCAUGCUGAGUACAUGAAAGCCGAGAGAGAUAUACUGACAAAAGUUGAUCAUCCUUUUGUGGUGCAGCUGAGAUGCUCCUUUCAGGUAGGGCAUUGCCAUUUCUCUGGAUUUUCUGUAUAUAUAUUUCUCUAUUACUAGAGCUAUGCUCUGGAAAUACUAAAACCAAUACUUGAAUGCAGACAAAGUACCGACUUUACCUUGUCCUGGACUUUGUGAAUGGGGGCCAUCUCUUCUUCCAGCUUUACCAACAGGGCUUGUUUAGGUAAUUUAAUAUCAUGAUUUAUCAUUACACCUAUUGAGUUGUAUCCUUUAACUGAGCUACUACUUAUCUGGUAGGGAGGAACUUGCGCGCAUCUAUACUGCUGAAAUCGUAUCUGCUGUAUCCCACCUUCAUGCCAAUGGGAUUAUGCAUAGAGAUCUGAAGCCUGAGAACAUCUUAUUGGAUGAUCAUGGUCAUGUAAGUUUCCGUUUAUAUAUCUCCACGUGUCACUUCUUGCUGUCGUCAUCUUACGAUUGCCAGUGGCAAAUUUUCCUGACAUUUGUUUGUAGGCCAUGCUGACCGAUUUUGGUCUGGCAAAGGAAUUUGAUGAAAACACUAGAUCAAACUCAAUGUGUGGCACUGUGGAGUAUAUGGCUCCAGAAAUUGUUCAGGGCCGAGGUCAUGAUAAGGCUGCAGACUGGUGGAGCGUGGGGAUCCUUCUUUUUGAGAUGCUUACGGGCAAGGUGAGUUGUUUGAGAUGGAUCCUUCUGUUUUGAAACAUUUGUAUUGCAGAUGAGUAUGUACUUGAUAUUUGUGUAUUUUUGUACUUAUUCUUUUCCAAUAUGUUGCAGCCCCCAUUUUUUGGUGGAAACAGGGACAAAAUUCAGCAGAAGAUCGUGAAGGAGAAGAUGAAACUUCCGGCUUAUUUGUCUAGUGAAGUCCAUUCUCUGUUGAAAGGCGUAAGUUUGCUAUGUUCACGUUUCUGCUCAUGUAUUUUGUGCAAUUUGUCUUUUGCUUGUUGACCAACCAGUUUGGUAAGAUAAAGAAUACCCUAGCCUGAAAGCUGGUAAGAUAAAGAAUACCCUAGUCUGGUAAAAAAAUUCGGACAUUUCUGGUAAAAAAAAUUCGGGCAUGUAUACUUGUAGUGAAGCCUGGCCCUAAUCAUGACUGCUCCCUUGCUAGUUGGGUUGAAACCUGUAUGCCUUGGUGCUAAUUUCACCUAGCUUCAUGUUUUAUUUUGAAAGGCCAAAAUCUAUCUGAACACCCUGAUUUUUUUUUUUCAGCUACUGCACAAGGAAGCUGGCAGGCGACUUGGAAGUGGACCAGGCGGCAGUGACGAAAUAAAGAACCACAAGUGGUUCAAGUCAGUAAACUGGAAGAGACUCGAGGCUCGACAGAUCCAGCCAAGCUUCUGCCCUAAUGUUGCUGGUCAGACCUGCAUCGCAAACUUCGACGAGUGCUGGACGAGUAUGCCCGUGCAGGACUCUCCGGUGGCCAGCCCCGUCGCUGCAGACAGUAACUUCCUGGGGUUCAGUUACGUGCGGCCCGCGCCAUUCCUUCAAAGGCCGAGUCCUCUAGGCUGAAGGACUACUCUAUGCAGUAAUGAAUAAACUAUGAAAUCUCAGUAUCUUUUCCUUGCUCAAGACAGUAAAAUGAAUCUGUUUGCUUGUUAGGAGGCUCAUUUGUCUAUCGCCUGAGACUGACAAUUUAUCUCUUGUUAGUCUACAGAGGUCCAUCUUCAUUAAGAUAAUGUAUCUCUUGUUAGGAGUAAAGAAAGGGCUCAACAGUCAAUAACGCUCAGGUAAAGAAGAGAACACACGCUGCAUCAAAUUGUUUCUUCCCAAAACGGGCCUUCAGUCGUUGACAAUGCGAGGCCAACAAAUGAGCUCAUCGUGUUGUUCACAGCCCUGUUAGCUCGUCUUGAGUCGUCCGCCUGAAUAUGCUAGCGCGUCCCGGUGUUGUGUAUAGCACCAGGAAUUCUGGGAUGCUCAUGCCAAGCAAGGAGCAAGAGACGAUUAUUUAUUUUUGCGGGAGAAAAGGAGCACGAGACGGUAUAGUCUGGGAGGGCCGGGUAGAGUUAACACUGCCCAGCCAUCGAUCGCUGCCAAAAAACGCAAUGCGCCGCCGGGCACCCGCUUGUCUGUCCGUCGAUCCGUUACCAACUUACCAUGCUGUUACCAGUGACCAUGUAAUAACAGGGAGGAAGGAACAAGCUAGGGAGACGCUGAUACGCAAAAGUAGACAGAGAUCGAUCAACGAUCCCAGGUUACUCGCUACAAAGAGUAUUUCUAGCCAAUGUGGAUCAGCCGAUUCAUAAGUGGUAUUAGUUCAAAACAAACAAUUCAUAGACUCCUCGAGGGCUCAAAAUCCGGAUCGGGGGGACACGCAACGCCAACAACGCACAGCAGGAGCGACUUGAGUUCAGCGGCCGCGGCUGAGCGACUUCUCGACGGCGUCCAUCUCCUCGAGGAUGCGCGUGCGGCGCUUGUUGGGGAUGGGCGCCGUGGGGCCGAAGCUGAUGUAGUGCCCGGACACGGCGUUGAGCGCCGAGUACAUGUCCCGGAACGACUGCCGCCCCAGCAGCGACUUCUCGCGCCGGUACUUGGCCACCCACGAGUUGGACAGCUCCCGGAGCUCCGUCACGGCGUCCGCCACCUUGGGGUCCGCCUUGUCCAUGCUGAUCGUCGAGCGCACCUUCCCGAUCACCUCCUUGGUCUCGCUCGUGUACUCGUCGUCCGAUGCCGCGCGCGCCUGCGGCGGCACCGGCGCCCCGCACAGCAGCAGCGCCGCUCCGAGGCCGCUGCCGGCGAGGACGUCGCGCCUGCUCGCUGCUGCUUGCGCCGUGAUGCUGUUGUUGGAGCGAGGCGCGGGGAGGGGCUUCGCCACGGACGCCGCUGAAGGGGCGGCGAGCAUGGCAGGGACGGGAGACGAUGCCGGCCUCAUGUCGUAUUGUCGUGCGUGAGCUUGGUCUGAGAGGAGGGAUGACGCCGUUUGAUAGCUUUGGGCCAAAGAGGGAGCAAGCCAGGAAGGAGGGCUGGGAAGAGGCGACACGUCGGCUUAUCCUCUUAUCUCGACUUGUUUUCUUGUAAGGCUGUCUAUGGGUUCACAGGAUUUUGUUUUGUUGAUAGGGCUGCGUGGUAGGAGUAUUCGGCAACAACACGUUUUUGGCCAUCCUAACUUCCAAAUGUCGACCUGGCCUCAAAAGAAAAAAUGUCGACCGCAUCCCCCUCAUACAAACAAAUGGUAAUUCUGUGUAUGAAAUGAACGACACUGUUUUCCAUGAACACGGAAAAAAUGAGACAACAGGCCGCAAACUUAGAUCCUCUCAGAUAAAAGUGAAUUUCACAGCAGCAUUCAGGGUACAGGAAAUAAUCAAAUCCACAAAAGGGGAUAGACACAGUGAAAACUGGACAAUAAUUAUAGUAAAUCGGCAAAUUAGUUUACGAUCAAGGAAUAUCCAAGCACUAGCCAACUUAAGCUCCAGCCUUCCGACGGCCAACUUGGGCAACAAAUCCAGUCUUGAUAGGAGCGACUGACCUUGACGAUCCACACUGAUAAAGGUAAAUUUUUUAAUCAGUACAGGAUUAUACAAGGGCGUAACAUGAAAAAGAUUAAGGCAAGAUUCAAACAAAGGGCAAAGUUUAAUCCUCAGAAGUUGCAGGUUUCUCAUAAGCUAGGUCAAACAAUGUAGGCAAUACAGUUUUGCAGCUCAUCAUAGGUAUAAUGGCCAGGAACCACCAGUGGUGAAAUGUACUCGGAAGUAACACCCAUUCAGGAUCACACAAUAAUCGCGAAAACAAAGGACCUAUGUACUGUUAAGCCUCAGAUGUCGCAGUUAAUAUCACGAAGAUAUUUGUCAAACAAUGCAGGCAAUUACUCCGCAACUCAUCAUCAGAACAAGAAUUUCACAAGGGCAAUAAAUCUUAACUCUACGGCAAGAAAAUAAAAUAUUGCGGCAGAUUCAAAUAAAUGACAAUAUUUUAUCCUAAGACGUCUCAGAAGUUUAUCAUAAGAUUGGUCAGACAAUGAAGGCAAUAAAACUGCAACUUAUCAUAGGUACAAAGCACAGGAACCACCAAUAUUGGAUUAUAAACACAAAUAAGACCAUUUUUAGCCAGAAAUGGCACAGAACAGAAGGCCGAUGAUAAUGCAUAUGCCUCAAAUGUUGCAAUUGUUAUCACAAAGAUAUUAUCAAACAAUGCAGGCAAACUCUAGAACUCAUCAUGAGAACAACUCCAGAAGUGAGAAACUGAUAUAACAAUUCUGAAAUCUAUGGCAAGAAAAAAAAAUAUUGCAGCAGAUUCAAGUAAAUGACAAUAUUUUAUCCUCAGACGUUGCAGAAGUUUUAUCAUAAGAUUGGUCAAACAAUGUAGGCAAUAAAAUUGCAACUCAUCAUCGGUACAAAACAGCACAAAAACAGACACCAACGAUAAUGCAUAAGCCUGAGAUUUGCAAUUGUUAUCAUAAAGAUAUUAUCAAACAAUGUAGGCAAUAACUCAGCAAAUAAUCAGAUCAACUUCAGAAGUGAGAAACUAAUACUCUGUAUAACAAUUCUAAAAUCUAUGGCAAGAAAAUAAAUGUUGCGGCAGAUUCAAAUUGAAAAUAUUUCAUCCUCAGACGUUGCGGAAAUUUUAUCAUAAGAUUGGUCAAACAAUGUAGGCAAUACAAUUGCAACUCAUCAUCGGUACAAAACAUAGAAACCACUAGUAACAGAAUCAAAUGUAAAGAUAAAUAAGACCAUUUUUUAGACACAAGCAGCACAGAAAUAGAUAAUGCAUAAGCCUCAGAUUUUGCAGUUGUUAUCACAAAGAUAUUAUCAAACAAUGUAGGCAAUAACUCUGCAACUCAUCAUCAGAACAACUCCAGAAGUGAGAAACUAAUAUAAUAAAUCUGAAACCUACGGCAAGCAAAUACUUAUUGCAGCGAUUCUCAUAAAUGGCAACGUUCCAUCCUCAGAAGUUGAAAGAAGUUUCUCAUAACAGUGUUCAAGCAAUGUACUACCUUACCCUAAAAAAAGAAGGUAUAUUAGGUCUCCUUUGACCAAGCCUUUGACUAAGAUUUCCUAUUAAUAUGUGUCUUAUGUGAUGCAAAUCAUAACCAUAAACAAGUACUUCUGAAUACGAUUACUAUGAUAUCAAUUCACAUAAACUGUACUCCCUCCAUCCCAUAUUAAAUGCUGUAAUAUUACAUGUAUCUAGACGUAUUUUAUUAUAUAGAUACGUCCAUAUUUAGACAAAUUUGAGUCACUUAAUAUGGGACGGAGGGAGUAUAUUAAUUAAGUAAAUCUUAGUCAAAGCCCUGGUCAAAGACCUAAUAUGCCUUCUAUAUUAAGACAGAGGUAGUAGGCACUAUUGUUCACAAAUCACAACUCAUCAUAGGAUGAAAGCCCAGGAACCACUAGUAAUGGAAUGUAGACAAAAAUAAUGCCAUUUCUAGCUAUAAAAACAAUAAAUGUUAAAUGGGUGGCCUCUGGAACCGCUAAAGUCUCAGAUAUUGAAAUUGUAAUCACAAUAUAUUAUCAAACAAUGCAUACAACUCAUCAACACAACUCUAUCGUACAAAACUAAUAUAUUAUUAUAAUCCUCAUUUAUAUAAAAUUAAAUUGCGGCAGAUCCAAAUAAAUGGGAAUGUUCCAUCCUCAGACGUUGCAGAAGUUUCUCAUAAGAUUGGUCAAACAAUGUAGGCAAAAAAGUUUGCAACUCAUCAUAGGUAGAAACUCCAAAAGUGCAAAACUAUUAUACUAUUACAAUCCUCAUAUAUAUACUCCCUCCGUCCCAAAAUAAGUGCCACGCCAUUUAUUUAGGGACGGAGAGAGUUGAAGAAAACUAAAUUGUAGUGCAUCCAAAUAAAUGGCAAUUUUCCAUCCUCACAUGUUGCAGAAGUUUCACAGAAGACAAUGUAGGUAAGUUUGCCACUCAUCAUAGGUACAAGACCAGGAACCACUAGUAACAGAAUAUAAAUGUAAGAAACACCAAAUUUUGCUACAAAGAAUGAUUGAGAACACAAAGGACAUAUAGUAGUGCUUUUAAGCCUCAGAAGUUGCAAUAUUAUCACAAAAAUAUUUGUCAAACAAUGUAGGCAAUACUCAGCAACUCAUCAUGGACUGUCAAAAGCAAGCCAACAGAAAGUGGAAAAAAAUGUAGAGGUGCAUUUGAGGCAAAAGAAUCAUCAAUUGCCAAGAAACAUUUCCUUCAUGCGAAACUAGAAAUAAUUGGUAUACUAAUCCAUAAGCAGCAAUUUACCUGUUCACAGCGAAGGAAGAACAACCGAUUCUCCUUAGAUAGGAUGGUAUCUGGGCUCUUACAUCCAUUACAUAUGACGUAUUCAUCUGGAGCAAGUGAAAUUGCCACAACGAAGAGAAUCAGUGAGUUUUGCGAAUAAAAAACAGCAUGGAAAUUAGAAUAUAGAAAAACUUUGAUGGAGGUUCAGCACAUGAUUUCACAGAAAACCAGAAGCCAGAAGGUGGUCACAUUUUCUUUACUAAAAAGUAUGUAUAUGGGAUAACAGGGGAAUAUAGAGGGUCAUAGAUUUAAUAAUUAAGUGAUGCCUCAAUCCUUGUCCAUAACUACAGAAGACCCAUACUUAGCUACAUAAACACAAGAUUUUCUACUUUAUGAUAUUUUGUCCAUAACAGAAACAGGUUAUGAUUUCUUCGUAACACAGAUGCAGCACGCGGUUUGAGUUCAUUACUACGAUUAUUGCCUAGAAAGACAAGAUAUGCACUCCAAUGAAAAAAGCAGACACCAGAGUUAUGAAAUAAUCAGGAAACUUACUGAUAUAUCUCCUUAGUAUUGCUUCAAAGUUUUUCGGAGCAAAUCUUCCUUUGAUAACCAACCUUUGUUGCCCAUCAAGCGAUCCACUUGUUCCCAUCUCAGCAAGUAAAAAUGUCAUCACGUGUUCAGGUUGCCUGUGCAUUCUGGAAAGAGGAAAUACCAUUCACAAUCAGCCCGUGAUCAAAUUAUUCAACAGAAAAUAAACUACAAAGGGGCAAAAUGAAGUGCGGCGAAAACAAAGGGAAUCGUACGUUUUGCACAAGUCCAUGAAAUUCACAAAAACUGUCUUUUUUGUGCCUUCCCUAAGAACUUGAGGGGGCCGCAUGACAGUUCUUCGUCUAUCACCAGCAAGAUCUGGAUUAUUCUCACGCAGGAUAUUGAAGACUCUGCCAAGCAACUAAAACCAAACAGAACGACGAUAAGGUUUCAUGAACAAAAACAUAUUUGAGUACAAGUAAAACUUGAGCACCAUAUGUUAGUUCUGAACUGGCAGCAUGUACAGAAUAAACAACAAAGAAAGCAGCUAAAUGAAGAAACAAACGGAAAAUAACACAAAAAUGCUCUUCAAUAUUAACUGAGCUAAGCUCACUAAAUAUGACUUAUGGAGAUAAGCAACUGCAGGUGAUCACAGAAGAAGGUGCCACUUAAAUAGCAAUAUAGUAUAUCUUAUAUUUAUCUUUGGACUUGUGAUCCAUCAUAAUACAUGAAGUACCAAGUACCUCUUCAUAGGUGUAAUCUCUGUCAGUUCCUUCCCAUGGAUAUUGGGUUGCACCACCAAGCACAAUCCCUUCUCCUUGUUCGUCUUCUCCAAUUUGAUCAUCUGGACAAUACAUGAUCAGAUAUAGCAGCAGAUGCAACAAGGGGAAAAUGAAGUUACUAAGCAACUCAAUUAUUUACCAAGAGUGUCUUCACCAUCUCCAGCCUCAAUAAGAGAUGGAUCAAGUUCCACCUGAAAUUAUCACAUUAGUAAAUUGAAGCCAAUUACAAAAGGCCACCGUUACUCUAACAACAAUUGCAACCAAGUGCUGAUAGCCUAAGGCUCUGUUGACAUCUCAUUUGGUUGGGCCCUCCUUAUAAUCUUUGGCUGUCUCAUAUUUUUCCUUGACACAAACAAAUAUAUUACUGUGGUACAAAACUUAUGAGAUGCAUGUGAUAGAACGAUCAUGGAAUAACAGUCUAUCUAACUUUAACUUGAUUUAUAAAAUCAAAUACAAUAACAGACAUUUGGCAACUUCUUUUGAGAGCUCUAAAAAUAAGCAAGACACAACACAGUAAGAGAACUCACAUGUUUCUUCUUCUUCUUUUUUAAUCCUGUAAAGCUUGGCUCACCAGACUCUGUGACUGAAGAACAGAGCAUAGAAAUAUCAGCAAAAAUGGCCAUCGGAUGAGUAAUUUUUUUUUCAGCAUAUUGGACAGACCUGCCAAGCUCUCAGUUUUCUCAGCCAACUUAUCAACCUCGUCAGAUGGAUCUUGAAUCACAACCUUCUUCUUCUUCUUUUUCUUAGUUGGAUCAAAGGGUGUUAUCUGCAAAACAAUACAAACACUAUCAACAAGCACGGACUCGAAAACAUAAGAAAAGGAAGCACGACAACACAGAUCUAUGAAACAAAAUCAAGGCACAUCUUCCCAAUCCGUAAGCACUCUGACUCUGAUUAAGAAAAAAGAACAUCUCUAAGCACCCACUUAAACACUUGUGUUGUACAAGCUCUAAUGUGAAUCAUGCUUCCGCACGCACCCUACACGGCUUUAAACCUCAUAACUUUCUCGUGCAUGAAACGAAUCAGAAUACUAAAAAAUUAUACUGUGGUUUUAAAAUCCCUGCCGAGCAUAACGAAACAGCGCAAAUGUUAGAACUGGCUACACAUCAACCGUACUUAGCAGCUUAAUCCGCUCUUCCCGAUAUGAGAAGUUCAACCGAAGCACACCAAUCGACGGCAAAUAGCUCCCAUCGUCUCGGAUUCAUGACCGAACCACGCAGGAAGCUCUACCCGUCCCAUCAUUUGGGCAAUCUAUUCAACGCCCAAAUCAAAUACGGAGUACAAAUCCGUCGAAACAGAUGCCGGAGCAAAAGGGAUAGGAGAACGCUUCACCUCCGUUUGCUCCUCUUUCUUCUCCAUCUGCUCUUCGUCCGCCAUGGUGACGGUGGUCUUCUUCACCCCUUCUCUCCUGGCGGCGUGGCGACUGGAAACCUAGACGGCCGUAGACAAGCCGGAUCAGAUCGAGUCACGUGGGGGCUAUGGAUUUUUCGGCGAAAGGGUUUCGAACUCUUACAGCGACAGCGAGAGGCGACGGCGGCGGCGGGGCUCCGGGUAGGGUUUCAGUAGCUUUUCUCCCUUUCUCUCUCUCUCACUUCUGCCUGCCUUAUCUCAGAGGAGAGACGAUGGGCCGUAUUUGUAGCUUUUUUCUUCUCUUUUUGAGAGAGGAGGAUUGUAGCUUCUCAGUUUGCUGGCAACGGAAGCCUAGAGGCGCGGCCUUUUGGGCCUUUUGGGCCUUGUAAUACGGAAGCCUAGAUCCGCCGCCCGGAUAGCAAUGGAGAAAAAUUAGGGUUUGAUCUAAAGUACACCGUUUUCGUUCGGGUUCGGUUCCUCCUAGAUGUAUCCAGUAACAAUUAUGAGUUCUGUGGUCUUUAAUGGCAAUGUUACGACGAAGGGUGUGAUGCCGUCAAGAAUAAAGUUAUUCUGGUUCUUCCUGUACUGCGACGGUGUCUUAUCAAACAGUGUCACGGGUUCAGAGAGUUUUAUUCACCGCAGAUUCGAUGUGUCCGAUCUUGUGGAUUUACAGUUUGUGUCCUCGCAAAUCCGUUCAUCUGGAUUUGUUGAGUUUUUGCUAGUGUGUCAUGAUGCUUUUGUUGGUUUGAUCUUCUGUGACUUUGGAAUCCUUCUUUGAGGUUCCGGUGAAGAUCAUGUGGUUCGACGGCCUGCACUUUAGGAAAUCAUCCCCGAUCCAAGUACGUUCAACGCUCACGACUUCUCAUCUUUGUAGAUUGGCGACUCAAGAGGCUUCUAAAAAUCUUUGAAGGUAGUAAAGUUCGUGUAGGGUUACGAGCGGCGAUGUUGCUGUUCCAGUCUAAUCGCAGUCUUUUUGCUGAAGCCCAGACAGUACUUCGUGUUGCAAAGAUUGGUACCGUGGAAAAUAUGCUUUCGAACGAUUUCAUUGUAAUUCUUAGCUUCAGGGAUUACUUUGUAAUUUCUCGUGUCUACGAUCCAAAGCACUUCACUUGUAAUGAUUUUCUAGAUUGAAUAAAGAUGCAAGUGAUUGUGAUUUUCUAGAUUGGAUAAAGAUGCAAGUGAUUGUAAAAAAGAAAACCAUAACCCCCUCUCAAAAAAAUAACACCCAUGAUUCUCAAAAAACAAAAAAAAAAAACCCAUAACCCACUACAAAUCGAGAACUACCGGGCCAAAAUCUCUAUUUAGUGUAAACUUUUAAGACUUCGAAACCUAACCAUUAAACCCUAAAUAAAUGGAUCAGAUAAAAAAGUGGAACAUCUAACCACUUAACAAUGAAAAAAUCGUUUUGUUUGCUGAGUUGUAAAUGAUGCGUGCCUCUUGAAACAAAAUUGCACCCACUAAAAAUCCUACCCAAAAAGGUGAGAGAAGAACCCAAGUUCAAAAUAUAGUUACUGGCAUUCCAGGUUCCCAGACGGCGGACGUGGUUCGAUCAUGAACUUCUGCCCGAACUUCCCGGUGCUCUCGGUUAGGGCAUCUGGAAUAUGCGGAACUUCCGAUGAUUGUUUGUUUCCGGCUGAACCCCAGAAGUUCCGGCCUGUCCCGUGUCUGUGCCUAACGGCUCGAUUUUUGGGGACCCCAUUUAUAUACCCCUUCGUCCCCAACGAGUCCCUGGCCCGAGCAAAACAACACCAUUUCUUUCCCCAAGAACACAAUUAGUUUCAAUCUCCAAGUUCUCCCUCCCUAGCCACUCCCAACUCUUGAUUCGUUGAGGAUUAGAGGAGAAGAUCUUGAUCUGGUGUUUCACCAAGUCAAAACGUUGAUUCUCCUUUGUUUCAUUUGUGGAUUUCGUUUCUCUUGUGUAUUUGGGAACCCUAGACGGAAUCGGUUUCGUUGAGCUCUCCCUUGGUGUGAGGAGCUUGGGGAUUGGAUUGAGAUCCUCUAGUUAAGUUGUGGAGCUAGCCCCGGUCAAAGUUGUAGGUGUUUGGACUUCGCCCCCAAGGAAGCCCCUAGUGGAGCUCACCUGACCUUUGUGGUGUUGUGAGAGGAGAAUAGAGUGACUCUUUGUGACGCCUCUACCUUUGAGGUAGAGCACGCCUCCAAGCGGAGAAGUACACCUACCCCAAUCGUUGGAACUCCGAUGAAAUCUUCGUCUUUUGUGUGGUAUCUAUUUUCACCCUUUACAUUCUUGUAAUAUUAAUUGUGAUAUUGUUGCUUCGGCUAUUGCACUUUAUACUAGGGUUGCAUUCACUUUAGAGAAUUUAGUAAACCCUAAGAUUAAGUGUUUGUAUCUUUCAACAAAAGAAAAAUAAAAAGUAAAAUUUGUUAGUCGACUAUUCACCCCCCUUCUAAACGAUCAUACCGAUCUUUCACCUCCAUCCUUGAACACUUUGCUUUCAACAAUAUUAAGUUUUUAAUCUUCUAUAUCUAAGUAGAAGCAACCCACUACUUGAUUUUUCUAAACACGCAAGCAUGUCACAUCAUCACAUAAUUAAUCUGUUCACACCUAUUUAGUGGAAACUCAUACUUUUGCACAUGCAUGCAUGCUGCUUCCAUCAAGCUAUCCAAGUGAAGAAUGUAAGAUUUUAUUAUGUGUUUUCAGUUUUGAAUACUCUUUAUGUUAACUAAAAAUUUCCGCAAUAACGUGCGGGCAUCAUCUAGUUUUCAAGAAGUGGGCAACUCUUCAAAAGUUAUAAGAGCAUGUCCAGCAAUAGCCCCUCAAUUGAGUCCCUAAAAAUGCAAAUAGGGGCCAGCCUCAAUAAGUAGGGUCCCCAAAACUAGUGUAUGCUCCAUCAAUAGCCCCCAAAUCACAGCCCCCAUUUCCCUGAUAUCUCAUAUUUCAACCCAAAUUCGUACAAUUUGAACCCAAAUUCAACCAAUUUCAACAUCUAUUUAUUCAAUUUCAACAUACAUAGUUGACGAGAAGGAGGUGUCCAAAAGGAGGAGGCGGUGGCCGGCGGCGACCAGGAGGAGGAGGAGGCCGACGCCUCCUUCCUUGCGCACGGGCAGGAGAAGGAGGAGGAGGCCGACGCCUCCUUCCUCGCACGCGGCCUGGAGGGCGAGGGGGCCGAGGCAGGUGGGAGGCGUGCGGCGGGUGGGAGGCAGUCUCUCCUGAGAUUUAAUAUUUCUGCUUAUGCCCCUUCUCUUUUCAUGCUAUAACUUGUAUACUUUUAUACUUUGCCUCCUCCCCUGAUAAUUGUAUUUACCGUUUUAGCCCUCUUUAUGCUUUUCUCCUGCCUCCGCCCUCGGGAGAGAGCGACUGUGAGAGAGAAAGAUAUAAGAGAGAGAGAGGGAGAGAGAGAGAGAGAGGAGAAGAGACUGGUCCCGCACAUCGGAUCGACCACACUGUCCGGUACUUCACUAGAAAGUGAUUCCACAAGGUUUAGUAUAUAGUACAAAUGAUAGACAAAACCGAAUUAAAAAAUGACAAGAAAGAUCCCUAAUAAAACAAAAAUGGUACAUCAAGAUUCUUCGAAGUAAAAAUUGCUAGAUCCGUUAUCCGUAUCUUGAUAGCUUUACAUGUUUCUGGUGAUGAAACUACAGAAGACCAAAGGUGUACAAUUGCACAAGCUGAAAUAACCUGAUAGGUUUUGAAUAGCCACAUGAGUCGCUCACCCCAAAUGAUGAGAACUUAAGAUUGUUGAACGUACUCUGGCCGAGGACACACAAGCUUGCAAGAUAUGUUGUGGAACCGCUGAUUCGUUGUCGAACCAACAAGGAAAAGGACCAAAAUAACGAAAGUACAAACCGCGAGAUCCACAAGUUCCAUGGUGUUGACCAUGUUGACUACGCCGGGACAGUGUUGAAGCCGGGAGACCAUUAUUCCAUACGUCGUCGUCUCCACGGCCAGGAUGCCGCCACAAGGACACCAAACCUCACGAAAAAGGUGACAUUCUAUUUGCCAGAUAUUGAUCUGUAGUUCCUCUUGUCUCGCGAUGCCAAAUUGGCUGUCAAAGACAAGGAAAACGGGCGGAGAAUCAGAACUUUUUGCACAAUUUAGAGAGAGAGAGAGAGAGAAGAGAUUGGACCUGUGUAUCGAAUCGACGACCCUCUAGAUCUUAUUUGGUCUUUACUUGUGAACGAUGUAACUAUUAUUCGCAAUCAAUAGAGCAGAAUGAUGGGGUUUAAAAAAAUAAAAAGAAAAAGGGGCGAGAGGUUUCCUUUUCCUACCUCUACCAUGCUCUUUGUUUUUUUUUCUAGGAUAACGAUGUGAUGACUUUCAGAGUUCAGGUUUUGGCCCCACCUACUCACUUGCAAAUUGAUCCUUGGACAACUGCGUGUAAAUAAUGGACACUUGAAAGGUGAAACGGUCGGACAGUUCAGGAAUUCAGGACCCAGGCAAUACCCUUCCCUUUCUCCAUGCGAACAGGACUGAUUCCUUGCAAGAAAGAUGAGGUCUGAUGUCUGCUGGAUAGCACGUACUACAGCAAGAUUCCAAAUGCAACAACAACGAAAAAAAAAACUUUUAUAAACAACUGUUCGUAAUCACCGGCCUCGUGGUUCGUGACACAACUUGCGAUGAUAGCUCGCUCUAGCU